AAAUAACAAGUGACAAAUGGAAAAUAAUUAACUUUUUCUACAUUUUAAAACGACAUUUCAUUUUGACCUAUUUAUUGUUGCUUUAAAUCAUUUUUGGAGGCAGUUCUUGAUCUUCUUUUGAAAGUAGUUCUUUGAAUCUAGUUUGCUAUUUUGACCUAUGCCAAGGUUGGUUAUAAUUGCAUUCUAUAGGACUAAGAUAGGGGCCCAACUUUUCUGUGGGAUGGACAUGCUUUAAUAUCUGGCUGACUUCUAUUAGAUGGACAGUUUUCUGGUUUUCUUGUGUCUUGUCGAUGCAAAGUUUCCUUAGGAUACUUACUUUUAGCCUGGCAAUAUGUAUUGAUUUUGGAACUCGAUAGUUUAAAACAAUAGAAGUUGUAACAAAAUGUUACCACUAUUUUAUCCUCAAACAGGACAAGCAGUCUGAUGAAACACCAAAGGAACCUAGCAUAGAUGGCUUUUCCCUGUGAGUACUGAAGCGAUUGAUACGUCAGAUGCGAUGACUUGCUUGGUUAAUACUUUAAUAUGUUGGAAAGAUGUUGCUGGAACAUGGAUAUUCUGCUGAUUGCAGAUGGUUAUAAGGCGUAUUUUUAGAUAUCAAAUCCUUUUAGCAUCAAAGCUUCAUGACCUGUUUGAAGUGUACACCUUUAUGGUGGUGCACAAAGAAUGUUGGCAACUUGAUUAUUAUUAGUAGCAAUUUGAUGCCUAAACCUCAUCGAUAGGGUUCAGGCCUUGGGUUUAAGUUUACAUCAUAUUUUUGGCUGGAUUGUGACGUAAGUAGUGUCUUGUGCUGAUCCAUUUUAUUGUUGGUUGAUUACCCAUAAAGGUUUAGAAAUUGAUUGUCCUUCAUAACGAAUUAAUUUAAAGCUUUUGAACAAACUUUCCAGUUAAGAUUAGAUGUUAGCAAGUUCUACAAGCAUCCGAUAAUAUGUAAGUAAUUGACCAAUUUUGAUACCUGAAUCUCAUUCUGCUGUAUUGCAUCUUGCAUAUAUGUCCUUUAUUGUCUAUUGACUUGCAUGAUCUUAAACUUUUACUUGUCUAUCUGUACUAAUUUUUCUUUAUCUAAAUUCAUUUGUAGUUAUGUUUGAGAGUAUAUUAUUAUUGCAUUUGUUGGCAAUUUUCUGCAAGGAUAGUCUGAAUCAUUUUCACCAUUCGCUGUUAUGCUAUAUUCUUGUUUAUGCUUUGACAUAGAUGCUCUUUACUUGGUUUUGGUCAUCUGGUUUGUGAACACCAGAUCUUCUGUAUGAUACCAUUACUUUUUUAAAUUUUAUGUAUAAUGAAAUAGAGCACUAUUUUGGUAAUUCUGUGCUGCAUAUUCACUGAUAUAUUUUGUUUUCGUUGGCUCAACAGACCAACAAGGAAUCUGGUGAAUCUAGGUGGAGACCAGGCCCACAGGGGCGAGGGGGAAGGGGAGGUCGAGGAAGCUUUCCUUCCCGCUAUUUGGUUAAUGGUAUGUGCAUGCUCUUCUAAUACCAAAUCUUCCUUUUUGCAUCUAAAUAAAAAUGUAUAUACUUUGUAAGAACUAUAGCAUAUUAUAAAAUGGGUACUUGAACUUCAAAUUUUUUUUUUUUUUUUGUUUUAAUCUCACAUUUUGUAACUUACGAUCUCAGAAAUUCUGUCAAGUUCUGAUUUUUGUUAGAAAAGUUCAAGUUGUAGAUUAUUGUGCCAAGAAACAGAACUUGUCAGGAUACCCUCCUAAUAGUCUCUCUGGUACCCAUUUUUUUUGGCUGGUGUCCUCUUACAAAGAAUCCAUCGACUCCGAGGGGAAGAAGAAGCCCCCUCUUCUAACUUACCCUAAGCCACAAGCCUUGUUCUGCCAUUAGGAAGCCUGAGAGAAUAAUCUCUUUACUGAUCAACUAACUUACAUGUUACAAUAUGGUCGCCUAGGUUUUUCCUUCAAAGCCUCCUAUUGCAAUUGAGGAUCCUAAUAUGAUGAGGAAACUAAAUAGUCUUUAUCUACUAAGAAGCAUCCGGUUGGGCUCUAAGGUGAUCCUAACAAGUGUAUUCCAUCAGGGUACAGAAUAUUCUGUUAGGAAAAGUUUAAAAUAUCAUUAAGUUCUAAUAAUGCAGUAAUUAACUAAAAUCUAUUUAAGGAUAGGUGGUAAAAAUUAUAAAUUUUGAAGUCUAGUUCCCAAUUUCAAAAUGUGCUAUUGUUCAGGUAUGGUCUGUACAUUUUUACUUUGCCUUUAUUCGCAGUGUUAUCGUGCUGUGAAUAAGGGAUGCUGGUUACGCCUUCAUUAAUAGUUUGAUACAAUUUGAAUAUUCUUGUUCUUCUAUAAGAUGUUGGUGGAAGAAAUGUUUCAUCUGGAAAGGAGAACGGAGCCAAUCAAAGCACAGACAAAGGUAGUACGACUUCAACUCCCAUUGACACUGAGAUCAAACCAUCAAUUUCUAUAUCCAGGUAACUACUUUAGUCUUGAGCAGCUGUUUUGAUCGAAAUAUCAUAUUCCGUUUUAAGCUAGAUCCUGUUAAAUUUUCUUCAGCUGUAGUUUCCUGGAAGAAUGUGAUUCUGUAUUUGCUUGUGUUCAUAUACUUGUACUAUAGCAAUGUGCCUUUUCAAUUUUUAAAGAUUUAUUACAUACGGUAAAUUUAACAGCUGUUAUUGAGCUACUUGUGGUUUCAUUUUAAGAGGGGUCUAAGGCAAUUAAACACUGAUGCCAACUUUAGUGAUGCUUGGUUUACAAUAUGGUUGGUAUGAUGUUGUAAAACCCUGCGAAAGUAGUUCUUUGGUGUCUAACUUUUUGAUCGUAAACUAUAUAAUUUUUAUAAUUUACCAUUAGUAAGCUCUUGUAGUUAGCAUUUUACUCGUCCAGCAUAGUUUUUAUUUUUCCUUCUGCUGAGCAAUUUGAGGUUCAUACCAUAUUGAUCUUGUGAAUCAUAUUUCUAGUAAAACCUCAGAUACGUUAGUCAGAUGACUAAUUAUGUUUCUUUGUCUUUUAGUUUUUCUAAAUAUUUAAACAAAUAUUUAGAAAAACAUAAUAUCUAGUAAAAUCUCAGAUACGUUAGUCAGAUGACUUCUUAUGUUUCUUUGUCUAACCUAGGCAUCUUGUAGCCUCCUGUAGGGGCAUACAGGUCGACGCAAUUUCAUGGUCAGCAGUAAACAUAUUAUACUUUUUACAUGUUUAUGAAUCAAAUAUAUUCUACAUUGUGUCUUAUGUGAAAUCAUAUAGUAUUAUCUAGUUUGAUAUGUGCUCUUCUACCACCACAUUGUAUUGUGUCUGAUAAUUUAUUGUAUGAUGCAAGACUUUUUUGGAUUUAGUGUUUUAAUUCCUGUAUUUUUGAUUUAUAUAAUUAGUACAGUGAAUUUUUGCUAAAUUAGUAAUUAUACACUGCUGUUAUCAACACAUUACCGCUGCAUUCAUGGGAAGUUCUAUCAUUCUCAGGAAUAUGACUAUCUUUGCUCAAAUCAAACAUGGUUUUUUGAUAUCUUAAUGACCUUUCUCAUGGAAGUCUGUGCUUUACCUCGUUACACUUCAAAUAGUGAAGUUCUCAUAUUGGCCAGUAUUUAGAACCUCCAAAAAUGGUGUAACAUUUUAGUAAUCAUUCUAACUUUCUGAACUUGAUGAACUAUGGUCCGUUUGAAAGUUAUUUGUUAUCUUAAGUUGGUGGCAGAAAAGGAUUAAUGUGAUUGAUCAUACAUAAUUUCUUUUGGGGAGUCACAUGGGCAACAUCACCUAGUGUGAGGCAAAGGUCAAAUUGAGUUGAGUACUUGAGUUGUUCUUCUUAUAUCAUCAACUUCUUUAACAUUUCAAUUUUCAAAUUGAUGUUGUUGCAUCGUCAUGUUUCUUAUGGUCAGAGUAUUUUUUUUUAAAUUUAUUCUCUUUAGGGCCUAUUCCUACCUUAGAGCAAAUGCCUUAUUUAUUUUUUUUUUAAUCCCUAUUGUUUAUUCCUGCUUAUCGCAAUAAUAGAUGGGGUUAUAAAAUGAUUUCGAGAUUGUCAAUGCAGGUCCCAAGCAUGGAUGAAAAUGGGGGGAGUGCAAUAGGUUAAUUUCUAGUGUUAAACUCAGUCUGUUAAAGCACCAUUUUGGAUCGUACGAUAUUGAAAAGAAAGAUGGUAUAACUUGAAUUAGAAUUGAUGGAUUUUCAUUGCUUUUGCAUGUGACUUGAGGAAGAGUUAGUAAACGUAACUCAGUAUAUAAUCUCAUUUAUUUGGAGGUACAAAAGAGAACGAAAAUUCUCGUCUAUUAUUUGCCUAAUUACUUGAUUGGAUGCAUUUUACAAAACUUUUAAUGAAGUGUUAAUUUAAUUAGAGUUUAUUGGCAAAUUGUUGCGAGUAUUACAUUAUUUUAUUCUAGAGGGUAAUAUCCUUAUUCAAUAUUUCACGAACACUAUAGAAGAAAAAUUCAACAUCUAGUUUUGCGUACUUGGUUUUGUUGCAUAAUCCUUUUUCAGUUCAUCCCGUGCUUUUUGGCCUUAUUUUUCCCUAUUUUGUGAUUGUAAGUUUCAAUAAAUUGCUCACAAUGAUUCACUCUCUUAUCCUUUUUGGACAUGGCAGCAUUGUCAUUGUUCUACAAAAAAUAGGUGCAAUCAUCUUUAUUCUGCUGCUUAUUUUCUCUAAAAUUUCAUUGCUUGUGCUUCUUCAUGUUCUGAACUACAUUUCUUGUAAUUCGAGUUAGUUACUGACGGUGUUUGAAAAGGCGCGCCUCCUAGGCGCGAGGCGCGAGUCUCGGUGCCUCAAGGAGUGAGGCGGGCGCCUCAGUUGCGCCUUGUGAUAUUUAUGUUUAAUGUGUCUAGGGUUUGGGUUUUCGGAUUUUGAGUUUCUUCAAUAUAAACAAAUUUCGAAUUGAACGUUUUCUUUCCCUUUUCUCUUGGUCGUUCUCUUUUCGCCCCCAAGUGGCAAUAAGUAGUAGCGGCAAGAAGCAAGAAGCAGCAGCAAAUACUUUUAAGUUGAAAGUUGAAAUAUAAUUUUUUUAUUUUUAGGCUGAGAACAUUUAUGCAUGCGAUUUCUUUACUUUUUUAUGGUUAUUUUAUUUUUGUAUAUAGCUAUUUUAGAAUUUUUUUAACAUAAAACAUUCAUUUAAAAUAGGCUUAUUAAGAGUUUUAUUUUUAUUAUAUAUGUGUCUCACCUUCUUGAGGCGCGCGCUUCACAGUACGCCUAGCGCCUAGGCUCCAUAAGGCCUUUGCGCUUUUUACGCCUUGCGCCUUUUCAAACACUGGUUACUGGAGAACCUAGAAAAUGAGGAAAAGAGAAAAGACACGUCAGGACCACAUUUUUGGACGGAACUUAUAUUGAUUCUGGAAUAGCAAUCUAAAGGUCCAUCUAUAUAUUUAUAUAGGAUCACAGCGUCGCAUAGACUCCCAGUAUAUACUGUGAAUUUGAAAAAAAAAAAAGGUUUGCUGUUCACAUUCUUUCUAUGUAGGCACCGCUAAACUUGUACUAUUCUAUCUGGUUUUCAGCUUAGCAGGUGGCCUGGCGAAUGGUGUGGGCAAUAUAAACAAUCCAACUUCCUCUCAGGGCCAUGCACCUCAAUUGCCUGGGCUUGGUGGUUCUGUUUCGACGGAAGAAAAUAGUUCUACUUCUAAAAGCAACAAUAAGACGAGUUCCACAUCAUCAACUACCAUUGAUAACAAGAUUGGUUCUGCUGGUGGACAAUUUGCAUCAGGUCCUGGAAGUAGACCUUCUUCAUCUUCUCAUGGUCGGGCUUCUGGGAGUAGGCCCUCUUCUAGUUACAGCAGUCGGUCACAACAGCUAGGUGGUCCGCAAAAAGGUAGUUAUCUAUGUUCUUUGACCCAUUCCAUAACAUUUAUACGCCAUCUCUUGGAAGCUUUCGUGUUCUAUUAGGUGUAUAAGAGCUAAAAGUAGGUACUUUGAUAUCUUGUCUCAGUGUUUGUGUUCUGUUCUUUAUCUCUGUUUUUGUUUUAUGAUACUCAGUUAGUAUUCAUAUAUUAUGUGUCGAUAAAAGAUUAGUAGUCUAGCUGGAAAGAUAGUGUUAUCUAGUGGCUGAUCUUGGGGAACGAGAGAAUAUAAAUGCGAUGAUGAGGAAAAUGUAGAUGGAAAUUUGGAAUAACGAUGGAAAGAGUAACAAAAGGAGACAAGUGACUGUAGGAUGAAAUUAUGCAGUUAAGGUUAGAUUUGUAAAAUUGGCCUAUUUUUCUUGCCUAAAGUUAGGGUGGCGUCUAAGCAACAAAUCUCUCAGGUGCUCUCCCCCCAUAGUUUAAUGGAAGGAUUCACACAAAGAAAAUCACCAGGAUAUUGUCUUGGAAAAGGAAGAUAGAUUGGUUUGAGGACGAAAAACAUUGUUCGUCUACUGAAUUUUUCAUUCCCAGGGGGGCCAUAAGUAACAAAGAGAACUAAUAAUGUCCUGAGGAGUUGGGAAUUGUGGUACUAAGAGAUUGAUGGAAAGAACAAAUAUUUAUUCUGGAUUUGCUGUAAAUCUAAUUGAGUUAUAAAACUUGCUAAGCAAUUGAUUUAUGUUUUUGUCCUCUUUUCCUUCUCUAUUUUGCUAUCAUUGUGUGCCAGGUGCAUGCUAGCUUGUGCAAACUGUUUUUCUGUAAAAACGUUUAUUUUGGAAGAUUAUGUUAUUCCAAAAGAAAGUGGCGGUCAUGCAAAUUUUCAUGCAGGAGUUGGUCCUAACAAAGAGUGGAAACCAAAAACAACAAAUGCGAAUCCAGCUCAAGCACCUGCUACUGCUGCUGCUUCUGAUAUUCUCCCUAACCCCGCUGUAGCUGUAACUUGGUCGCUUGAGGCAUCGAGCUCCGUGACAACGGAGGAAGCUGCUUUGAAGGUCGAGAAAAAGCUCGCUGAUUUGCAGUUAUUGGACAGGCAACAUGUUAUCAUCCCAGACCACCUUCAGGUCCCAGAAUCAGAGAGAUAUGGCUUGAGUUUCGGGAGCUUCGAUGCUGGUUUUGAAAUUACCACAGCAAAUGGCCCGGCAAGUGACAAAUAUUCUGUGCCAUCUGACUCUGAGUUGUCACAGGGGAUUGAGGGGACUGUUGAGGAGCCAUUUUCAAGGUUAGUUAUAUUCUAGCUUUCUCCCUUCAACAUCAAUGUUUUGUUCUCUUUUCUUCAUCUUUGUUGGGUUUUUGGUAUUUUGUUGAAAAGAAAUGUAUAUAUUUCUCAAGUGAGGCUGGUAUGCUUCUGGAAGCACAGAGCCUUCCGUGCUUCCAAGUCAUUUUUGAUGUUGGGAUUUUCGAAUCGACGAUCGGCUCCGUUAGACUUGAUCUAGAGUAAUUGAAGUACCUAGAAAAUAAAUUUUGUGAUUUUUCGAUAUCAUUCCCCUAGUGAUCGAAGGGGCUCAAAAUCAAUAAUUUUAAUGGCCGUGGUGCGCUGUUUGCAAGUUUAACGGUGUAGAAAUAUCCAAAUCACGUGAAAUUUUUAUAGAAAAUUCUUUAUACUAUAUAAAACAAGAUCAAUAUCUUUGAUCUAAAAUUUUAAUAUCAUAUCAUCACACUUUGUAAAAUUUUUAUUUUCAGCCGUUGAUUUUGAGCCCCUUCGAUUAGGCAAAUGAUAUCGAAAAAUUGCAAAAUUUAUUUUCUAGAUACUUCAAAUACUCUAGAUCAAGUUUAACGGAGCCGAUCUUCAAUUCGAAAGUCUCAACUUCGAAAACAACUUGGAAGCACGGAGGACUCCGUCUUCUAGAAGCAUACUGGCCUUACUCUAUAUUUAUCUUUUAUAUUUUUCAAAUGUAUUAUGUGAUCUGCUAAGAACAAAUUACAUCAGCCAGUUUUCCAUGUAAUGAGCGUAUAAUACACAAAUGGUUCACCUAAACGAGUAGCAGGUUUUUACUUUUCUCUAUCUUGCAUUCAAAUGAUAAAUUCUCUGCUGUUAUUUAUCGGCUGUACUUUCGUUAGUCCGUUUGGUCACUGAAUUCUAUAACACACUCAGUGAUUCAGCUUACACUUGAUGAAUUUAAGUAUAUUUGAAAAUUAAAACCUCCCUUUUAGCUUCAUAUUAAUGAACUAAUCAGCUGAAAAUGAUAUACUUAGAACAGAGGGAACUUUCUCUUCAUAGAAUUCGAAGGAUCUCAUCAUUCUGAAAUUUGUCGAUCAACUUUUUGUAAAGCUUUGGCAACUUAUAUCUCACCACUUAAUUGUUGGAAUUAUCAAUUGCUCUCUGAAAAAUGUGCAAUCCGAAUGAGGUGUUUGGGUCGGAUCGUACAAAAUUCUGUUUCAUUCUGGCAGAGAAGCUUAUUUUUCUUUUUCAUUUUUGGCUAUAUGUCUUCCAAGCACUGCAUUUAUUACUUCCUUUUAUAUUCCAUUGCAGCAUGCAGAAUGCAUCCUCUGCUGUUGAAGAAACAGAAGCUUUGGAUCAUGAGCAGUCACCUACAGAGAUGCCGGAAAAUAUAUCUAGGGAGGUGGAGAAGUCAUCCAGCACCAAUGAAACAGAAGAAGCUGAUCAAUCCAAAGAAGCAGCUGCUUUACCUCCGGAAGCUUCUCACCACCCCCUUCUUCAAACUGCACCGUCUUAUUCGACAUAUGGGUUGGUACCACAGAUGCUCGGAAAUCAGUUUGGAUCCUUUGAGACCUCUGACAGUCAGGCACAUGACACCAAUCGCAUACCAAACAUCAUGGUAUGUCUUCAGUUUCAUAUCACUAAUUAUUCCUAUGUUCAAUUGUAGACAAUUUAUUUUGGUUCUUUUUGUUUAUUGCCCACAAUGAUUCUUCCCUUGUAGCAUGAUCCACAAUAUACAUUGCCAGCCUGUUCACUCUUUCUUCUUUUUUUCCCUUCCCCUAUCAGUUAGUUGCUAGUUUAAGGGAGUGAUCCCUAGUAUUGGUACUUCAAACCUCAUUCUUGAUUGGAAGUCGUGGAUUUCAUUUUAUUUUGUUUCUCCGUUUUACAUAUCAUUGUGAAGUGGUUUUUUAUUUAGGUCCAGCAGCAACCAUUUGAUAUGUUUGCAAGCUAUUACACCCAAUUUUAUCGACCCACAACUGAUGCUGAUGGCCGUUUCUCUCCCUUUCUUGCACCCGGUGCUGCUGCCAAAUACAAUGGGAACGUUGCUGUCCUGCCUUCUCAAACUGGCCAGGCUUCUCAAGAGGUUUGUGCAUCAACGUUGGACUUUGCAUGGUACAUGUUGGUUUUCCUUAGACUACUAUUUGUUAUUCUGUUCACUAUGCUGUCAAAGUAUAUCAGCAGUCUAUUCUAUAAUAUUUAAUUUGAAGAUUUAAGUGUUGAGCUCCAUAAAAUUAAAUGGUUUUGGCCUAAAUUUCUCUGAACUCCAUUACUUAUACAAUAGUAUAGAUACUCGGCACUUCUUCGCAUUGACAGUGUAAAAGGCUGUUGGCUUUCAUGAUGACUCACUAUUUCUUCACAUGUACAAUACUGCAAUGACGAGAAAGACUUUUUAACUGGAUUUCGGGGUGAAUGAAGCCAUGUAAACUGGGAUUUCUCAAUGAUUUUGCUUAUCUUUACUGCAAUCUGAGUUCUCUUGGGACUUGUCACGUCCUAUCAUGUGCACAUCAGUUAAACUCUGUGUUUUGGUGAAAAGAAAAAGAAAAAGUAACAUUGUUUGGGGAUCCUUUCCAGCCAAAAUUUGCAGUUGAAGAAGUUAAAAUGCAAUUGCAGAAAGACAGUAUAACUUCACUUUUUGCCUAAGUUACUGAUGCUGUUAUUUUAUGCUACUGCAGAGUGGGAACUCGCUGGUCUUUUCUUCAUCUGCCUCUACUCCUCUAACCACCCAAGCCGCUGGUGUCGCACAAAGCUCUAUUGCUAUUCCGCCGCAACCAGUUCCUGUCCUACGUCAGCCGACCGGCGUACACAUAUCCCAUUAUCCCCCCAACUAUUUCCCCUACAACCAAUAUUUCUCUCCCUACUAUGUUCCUCCUCCUCUUCACCAUUUCUUAAGCAAUGCCGCUGCAUUUCCCCAACAACCUCCCAGCGGAGGCAUAUAUCCACCUGGAGCAGCAGCAGCAGCAGCAACAGCUGCAGCCCCGCUCAAAUACCCCUUCUCUCAAUACAAGUCUGGUGGUAAUGCUGGUAAUCAAGCAAAUCAUGUUGGAAUGCCGACUAGCUAUGGAGCGUACAGUUCGAGCUCAGCGGGCUACUCUACUAGCGCUGCUGCGGCCAGCGGAAACUCAGGUGGAAAUGAUGAUAUCAGCUCGGCACAGUUCAAGGAAAGUAAUGUCUAUAUCGCUGGCCAGCAGGUGAUUACUUCCUGACAUAGAUUUGCUAUAUUGGUGUCUGCUCUGUUAAUGCAAGAGUUCUACCGCAGAUUGCUGAUUAUGAGGAAUCUUUGAUAUACUUAGUCAGUGUAUAUCAUUGUUCACAAAUCACAGGAAAGUGGAAACAUGAUAUAAAACUGUGUCACUCAGAUGCAUAAGAAAAUAGAACUGACCAUUGUAUAAAUCUAUGGAACGUGUCCUUCUAGUCUCUGUCGGAUAUUGAGGGAAGAAGAGAGCAAGAGAAAAGAGAGGAAAAGAAAACGAAUGAGGAGAAAUGAAGAAUAAAUUUCUCUUAUCUUGUUUGGCUACACACAAAGAUGGCGAGAAAAGUUGUAUCUGAAAAUUAUAGAAGUGGAUUAAUGCCUUUUUUUUUUUUUUUCUUCUUCUUUUUUCUGGCUUUCGAGAGAAAAAAAAGGUUUUCUUAGAGAGCAUCAGAGCAAGCAUAGAUGUAAUUCUUUUCAUCUAUGUUUCAAGUUCCUGAUCUUGUAUCUUCUAUCUAACGAGUUAUGUUUUCUGUCAGAACGAAGGCUCUGCCGUGUGGAUACCGACGCAUGGGCGGGACAUCUCCAGCCUUCAGGCAGGUUCCUUCUAUGGCCUUCCCCCACAAGGCCAACCCAUGGCUUUUGCACCUCCACAAGCCGGCCACGGCGCCUUCAGCGGGAUCUACCACCCGACUCAGACGGUUACCGCACAAGCUGUUCAUCCUCUUCUUCAGCAGUCCCAGUCCGUAGCCGGAGUCGUCGAAAUGGUGCCUCCAACCGGUCUUUACCAACAGCCGCAACGACCGCAGAUCAAUUGGACCAAUAAUUAUUGAAAUCCCCCCAAAAUGUUGGUAGUAGCCAAAUGGCAAAAAAAGCUCCGGCUAUAUAUGCAAACAAACGAUUAUGGCUACUACUAUUCUUGAGUGUGAUUUAAAGGAUUGGUUUUAAAGUAUUGGGCAUACAAGGCCCUGAAAUCGAAGAGUAUACAUGUAUAUACUUAUCUGAAGGGUGGCCAACCUGCAGUUUAAGGCAGAGGAUUCCAAGUUGUUUGGAAAGAAGUUGAUAGUUGAGGUUUUCAACUUGUGACAAAAACUGACCCAUUCUUAAGUUAGUCGAGAGGUUUUACUCAGCUUCCUUUCUUCUUAUCUUUAUAACCCUAAAAUUCGGUAGGGGUAGUGAAGUGUUGUGAUUUUUCUGUUCCACCUAUCCUUCCCAAUGAAUUAUUAGUAGAUAAACUUUGGAAGGUAAGAGCUUAAAGCUAGUGGGGUUUUUCAUUCUUUACGAUGCCUUUUUAUGUAAAUUAAAUUUUGAUAGUUUUGAGAAUGUAUCACACUUGUUGUACUCGGUGCUUCUGGAAACAUUAGAAAAACUACCUCUUCUGAUACCUUUUUUUUCAGCCGAAAAGCUGUAGUCAGAUUUGCUCCCGACAAUAAGCUGUAGGAUUCCUCUUGCUGCUUUUAAGCUCCAGGAUGGUCAUCCGAGGAGGAGGUAACAACCCUAAAGCUUUUUAAUCAGUUUCGGGUUUUUAUUAGUUGAGUGAGAUCUGUUUCUUGAAGCAUGUUUGUCCUGUAAGAACAGUUAGGGUUGUCGACAUUAUUUAUAAGAGACAUUGAUAUAGUGCUAGAAAGACUUGUGUGAUAACAACUUUUUCCCUUCUUGAGUUUCAUUUCUCUAAAAGAAAUUCGUAAGAUGCUUGUCUUUUUGUGCUGUUCCUUCAUGGUCUAAAGUUGAAAUAAUUUGGUUCCCUGCGCAUUUACAUUUGUAAUAAUUACUAAAUGUUAUUGACAAGGAAAGUAAAGAAGCAUACAGGAUUCCACAUUACUGUUGCGUCGAUCGUAGUAAACGGUAUCGACAAAAGAUAUUAUGGAAAAUCUCCUCGCAAACGAUUGUUGUUUACAGUUUUUAUCUAACAAUUGUGAAAAAUGCUUUCUAUACUAUUUCACUAUUCAGCUGUUUAAUGCUUCUGCUUGUCUCUUUUGUAGUAAGUGUUUUUUUGUAAAUAUUCAUAUUGAGCUGAAUAUAGUGUUAUGGUGUCUGCACCUUUUAACUAAUUGCAAAAAAUGCUUGUUACUGUUCAGCUGUUCAAUGCUUCUGCUCUUAUGUUUUGUAGUCAAAGUUUACCUUUAGUAAAUGAGUACUGAAGAAUGGGGACUAAUCUGUGUGUAGGGGUGGCAAUCUAGCUCGCUGUUCGCGAGCCAGUUCGUGUUCAGUUCGAGAUGAGCUUGAGAUCAGCUUGCUCGUUUAGUAAAUGAGCCGAACACAAGCUGGAUAUUUUAGCUCGUUUAAUAAACAAGCCGAACAUGAGCUGGGGUCAGCUCGCUCGUGUUCGGCUCGAUAACAGCUCGAAUACAUAUAUUUUAUAUUUAUAUAAUUUAUUUAAUUUAUAUUUUUAUAUAUAAAUAAAUAAUUAUAUAUAAUAUAUAUUUUUAUUUUUUAAAUUUUAGCAAAAUAAAAAUAAAAAUACUAGCUUAAUUAUAAAAAGAUUCAUUUAUAUGUAAAGUUUCAAUUAUUAGAUCAAAGUCUAAUGAAUAAGAUUUUAUAAAUUUAUUUUUUAUAUAUAUUUAAUCUAUUUUUUUUUUAAUUUAUUGUUUGUUGGCCAGCUCGUGAGCCAGCUCGUGUUCAGCUCGUUAAUAAACGAGCCGAACAUGAGCAAGUUGGGGCCGGCUCGUGUUCGGCUCGUUUAAUAAAUGAGCCGAACACGAGCUGAAUUUUUCGACUCGAUAUUUUAACGAGCCAACUCGUGUUCGGCUCGUUAUUAUGUGCUUUCUUGGCUUUGCCUUUAAGGUCAGGGCCGUCGAUAAGCCGAGCACGACCGAGCUCGGGCCGGCUCGUGAUCGCUCGUUUAUUAAACGAGCCGAACACUAGCCGACUCGGUAAAAAUAUCUAGCUGAAAAAUUCAACUUGCGUUCUGUUUGAUUUGUCUAUUAAGAAGUCAGCUUGGAUCCGUCCUGUUCACUUCGCUUCGAAUCAUCGACGAAGGCCUCAAAAUUAAAAUCUAAUUAAUUAGAUAUUAUAUUCAUUAAAAUUUAAAAGACCUGUAAAUAAAAAAAAAAAGUCAUAAAUAUUUGGACACCGUUCUCUUACAAGUUACAAUCGAACAAUGUCUACUUCGUACUCGAUGUUCAUGUGUUUCGGGGAUGUAUUAUGGAUACAGUGAAUAUAUAGAGACAAUAAUUCGCUCCCCACUUUAAGUUUUUGGCGUUUUCCUGUGACAAAAUUAAUUAUCAUCAUGACUAGGAAUUGCAUAAGCAGUACACAAAGAUCCCAAAUUGUGCACUUAAAUUUAUAUUUUGAUGUUUACGUUUUAAAUGAAUUCAAUAUCAAACACUUAAAACGUGGGCUGCUUAUUGUUAGAUGACUCCCAAAGUCCAACACCCUCUUUUAACAUAUUUUCUCUAUUUCACACCUCACAAAAAAAAAAAAAAAAAAAAAAAAAAAAACUUUGUCAUGGUUAAGGGUGUGCUAGUUCAGUUCAAUUUGGUUCGGAUUUUAAAUUUUUUUUUAUUUGAUUAGAAGUGGACCAAAACAAUUUAUUCCCAGGACCGACCCGAACCGCACUGAAUUAGCUCAUGACUUAAGACCGAACCAAAUUGCAUUAUUUAGUUUGGUUCUUUUUUUUUUUUUUUGUUUCAGUUUGAAACCAAUCUUUAGCUUGGAAUUCCAUUAGCAAAUAAAAUUAUGAAAAACAAUUUGAUCAUGAAAUGAGAUGCACUAUUUCACGUAGUAAUAAUGGCAUGCAUUCAAAGAUUGUCUAAGAACAAAGAUAAUUUAUUUUUUAAACAUUACUUUACUAUAAAAUUAUUAUAUUUAUCAUAUUGCUCUUGAUUAUAAGCUAAGAUGCUACCUGAAAAGUUGGGAGUGCUACAGCUCCUAAUUUUUCGAAAUAUCAAUGCCGAGAUUCGAACCUCUGAUCUAGUAACAAACCAAUAUUUUAAACAAGUAUUGUUAACAUAAACCCGCGAUGCUAAAUAGGAUCAAUUUCCUUCAAUUGAUUUUGGUUUGGUAAGAAUUAAAUCGCCGAGAGUUAUUUCAUAUCCAUUUUCCAAAUAAUUCCUUCCCAAAAUGGAUAUUAAUUUUCUUACAAUUUAAAUAAAGAUAUAUAUUAAGAGACAUCGACAUAUUAAAAUGACUUUUCAUCCCAUUGCAAACAAUAAUUUGGAGUUGAACUCUAUUAAAUUCCAAUUUAUUCCAAGCAAAAAUAAUCACCCUUAAUUGCUCUGAAUUCAAUUUCUCUAAAUUUGAAUCACUUGAAUGCUAUUUAGAUUUGAUUUUAAAAUGGAUUGUAAAACAAAUUACGAGUUAGAUAAUUAAAUUACAAAACUCAAGUAGUCUACCCAAAGUUAGGUCAAGCUGUGUGAAAAGAGAAAAGUAUUACUUACAGCGGAUGAAGUACGUAGGAUAUACCAAAAAACAUUCAUAUCGUGCUAAAUAAGCUGAUGGAGAGUCCAAUCAGGGACAAUAUAGUAAUCUUAUACUCCAAUGAUUCGUUCGAAAAGUUUGAUCAAUCUAAUAUAUAUAGCAAUAAUAUGUACAUAGCUUGAGCACACAAUUCUACAUACCUUCUGAUCAUAAAAAGCUUUAAACUGGCACUUGAAGCAUGAGGGCUAGAGCUACAAGCAUGCAACUUUUUAUAAUAUUACUUGUGGUUUGGCUUCUAAAAAACCAAAUCUUGGAGAGCUAUGGAUGCCUCAGCGUAGAGCGCGAGGCGCUUCUCGCAUUCAAGUCCGGUGUCGUCGAUCCACGAAACUGCUUGUCUUCUUGGGAAGGCUCUGACUGCUGCAGAUGGAAGGGAGUUCGGUGCAACAAUAAGACUAGCAGAGUUGAGAAGCUCAUCCUUAGAUUGGCUUGUGGAACUUCCUCAGACACAAGCUACGGAGGUUUUGGUGGUGAGGUCAAUCCAUCAUUGCUAUCUUUAAGCCACUUGAAGCACUUAGAUCUCAGCAUGAAUAACUUUAGUACCAGUUUUCCUAAUUUCAUCGCUUCGUAUAAGAAGUUAAGAUAUCUUGACCUCUCUAAUGCGGGUUUUACUGGAAUGAUACCUCUUGAAUUCGGAAACUUGUCAACUCUUCGUUAUCUUGACCUUAGUAAUAGAUACUAUAACGAUAGUACUACCUCUCAUGGCAAACUAUCGUGGAUCAAAGGUCUCUCUUCUUUGAAGUACCUUGACUUGACCUUUGUGAUGCUACAAAAUGCAUAUGAUUGGUUACAAGCAGUGAACAUGUUGUCUUCAUUGCAAGUGCUCCGCUUAGGGAGUUGCUCUCUUCCAAGCAAUCCCGACCCCACUUUUGGUUUCAACUUGACAAGUUUGAGCACACUUGAUCUUCGAGAAAACUACUUCAACUCGACCUUGCCUGAUUGGCUAUGGAGCUUCACUAGCCUAACUGAUCUCAAUCUCAAUCAUAACAAUUUUUAUGGUCCAAUUCCUGUUGAAUUAGGCAAUUUGACUUCACUUACUUCCUUGUGUUUAGGAUCCAACAACUUGGCCGGCCCGGUACCGAAUUCAAUCAAGAACCUUUGCAAAUUAAACACUUUAAGUUUGUCAGGAUGCAAUCUAGAUAGAGAUAUAAUCGAAUUUUUGUCAGAACUCUCUUGCGUCUCUCUUAAUAAUUGGCGACUAUUGGAUUUGCAGAACACAAAUAUAAAGGGAAAUUUGUCUGGCUGGCUUGAACAUAUGACGAGUCUUAAAUAUCUCGAUGUCAGCAAUAAUUUCCUCAAUGGUUCGAUACCUGUAGGAAUAAAUAAACUAUCUAAUCUAGCUUUUCUUGAUCUUCAUGGAAAUUCGUUUGCUGGGGUUAUACUUGAAACUCAUCUUAUGAACUUCACAAGAUUAAAGUUUCUUCGGGUGAGCGGUACAUCUCUUGAGUUGAAGGUGGAGGAUAAUUGGGUGCCCCCUUUUCAAGUGCAAGAAUUAGUUUUGAGGUCAUGUCGAUUGGGUCCACGAUUUCCAAGAUGGCUCCGAUUGCAACAAGAAAUUGAAGUCUUAGAUUUGUCAAACAACUGGAUCGCUGGCACUAUUCCUUAUUGGUUUUGGGACAUAUCUUCAUCUAUCAGGAGCUUAGGCCUUUACAAUAACCAAAUUAGCGGCAUUUUGCCAUCUUCUUUGCGAAACAUGACAUCAUUAGAGGUGUUAAAUUUGCGUUCUAAUUAUUUACGAGGAUUCUUACCAUUUUUGCCUGAUUCUUUGAAAUGGGUUGAUUUCUCAAGCAAUGAGUUUUUUGGAUCACUUUCACAGUCCUUCUUCAAGCCAAACCUAAUAGGCGUUCUUUUAUCGAACAACUCCAUUAGUGAUGAUGGCAUCCCAUCAUCUAUAUGCAAUAUGCAAUCUUUGUCCAUACUUGACAUGUCGAACAACAAUUUAUUUGGUGAGCUGCCAAAUUGCUGGAAUGGUGUAUCAAAUAGUUUGAAUGUUAUAGACCUAUCCAGUAACAAGCUAUCAGGACAACUUCCUGAUUCAUUGGGCUGUGCCAGUAAACUUGAGUUCUUGCACUUAAACAAUAACAGCUUAUAUGGGGAACUUCCUUCGGCUUUACAAAAUUGUCCCUUAGUACUACUUGAUCUCGGGCAAAACAAGUUAUCAGGUGAGAUUCCUAUGUGGCUAGGAAAGUUAACAAAUCUUAUAGUUCUUCGGUUGAUGUCAAAUAUGUUUGCCGGCAACAUUCCUGCAGAGCUCGGACAACUUGAGAAUCUUCAAAUAUUGGAUCUUUCUUGGAACAAUUUAUCUGGAAACAUACCUCAAUCUUUUUGGUAGUUUCCCGGCGAUGGCUUCAAUCGAGUUAUCUAAAUACAUGAUUGAUAUACAUUGGCUUUACGUUAAUUUUUUUCUAGUACAAACAAUCUAUGGAUAUCGAUUCAACUGCAUGUUGUAUAAUUAUUCUAGUCAAAGAUUAUAUAUUGCAACAAAAGGGUCAAAUCUUCAAUUUUCGAAGAAUCUGUUCUUCGAGAAGAGCAUAGACCUCUCAGGUAACAAACUUGAUGGUGCGAUCCCUGCGGAACUAGCCGAUCUAUCAGCGCUGCACAAUUUGAACUUAUCAAGAAAUCACUUAAAAGGAAGGAUUCCUGAUAAGAUAGGAAACUUACAAUCUUUGGAGUCUCUCGAUCUUUCUAUGAACGAAUUAAAUGGAACCAUCCCCCAAAGUAUAACGGCCUUGAAAUCUCUGAGCAACUUGAAUUUAUCAUACAAUAACCUCUCAGGAAGGAUUCCAUCUGGAGAUCAAAUACAGACAUUGGUUGAUCCUACUAUAUAUGCUGGCAAUCCCUAUCUCUGCGGUCCCCCGAUUUCGAAGAAUUGCUCUGGAAAUGAACCGACAUAUACUCCUGAUGAGAAGAAACAGCACAAUGGUGGCUUGGAGAACAUAGAAAUUUAUCUCGUUAUGGGAUUGGGAUUUAUUGUGGGGCUUUGGGGAGUUUAUGGCGUCUUGCUCUUCAAAUCUGCAUGGAGAAAUACUUACUUCUACAUUAUUGACAAGAUGUACUACAAGUUUUUUGCUGGCAAUUGAGACACAGUAAGAUCAUCAUAUGUAUUAGAAGUUGUAGAAGUUUGUAUACAUACCAGUAAAGGUAUGCAAUAAUCUGUUGUAUGCUAAUCGAAAUGGAUUUUGAAGUUUCUGUUCUCAUAAACUUGCUGUUAGUGGAAUAUUCAUUUUUUUAAUUUAAUUUUUCCUGCGUGAUAACAUCUUAACUCUUAUAUAUGUGGGAUUGUAGUACCACUGUUUUCCCAAAAAGAAAAAAAAAAAAAAGAAGAAAUUGCUCUUAGUCUUCCUAUCGAAUUAGGUUAAUUGCACCAUUGGUUCCCGACUUUUACUUAAUUUUUUUGCUUUUGUCUAAGACUCUUUAAUUUUUGCAAUCAAAUACCUAACCUUCAUCAUUUCUUUCAAUUAAUUCUCUGUUGUCAAAAAAAUCAUUCACACUAACAAGAAUUGUCACUUUAGCACCGAACAAUAUUUGCCAUAUUAGCAGAUACCGACUAACCUUAUGAUGUGGUGACUUUUGUCAAAUUUAGCAAAAGUUUUGGACGGUAUAAAUAAUAAAAAAGUUGACCUAAUUGCCAAAUUAAUAAAAAGAAAAGUCAGGGAUUAAAGUGAUAAAUUAGUUAAGCACUGGGGACCAAUAGUGUAAUUAACCCUCUAAAACAAGCAGAUACUAUGAACUUCACAUAUCUCCAGAAUUUAGAGUCUCAAGCACUGUAUUUUAAUCCUGCCACUUAUCAGUUAUAUAUAUUUUUCUUUUUCAAUUUAGAAAAUUAUAGCGCUGAAUUGAAAGUACGAGAUGGAUGCAGCAAGAUGCAGGCAACAAAGUAAUACUGGGGAUAGUUUUAGUUUGGGUAAAAUUACACUUUGGUCCUCAAACUAUAAAGAGCGUGACACUUUGGUCUUUAAAUUUUAAUUUCUAGUUUUUGGCUUGAACUUUCUGAAUUACUGCAAUUAAGUCUCACAAUCUUAUUUAACUUGCCAAAUGUUGGCAAAUUAUUGGUAUUCUGAUUGAAAAUGCGUCAAUAAUUAAAAUGUUACAUCAUUUCUACAUCAAUAUUUUGUCAAUAUUUAACCAACUAAGUUGAGUUGUGGUACUUGAUUGCAAUAAUUCAGAACAAAUCAAAGUUCGAGGACUGAAGUGUUAAACACCUCAUAGAAGGCUUUUAAACUUCCUCAGGUUGAAACGUUACUAAUAAAAGCUAUACAGAAUUAAUUAAGGUGAUCAAAUUGAAGGUUUUAAAGGCCAAGAUUAAUUUACUUUUCAUCUCAAGUUAGCAAAAUGGAGCACCCAUUUAAUUUUCUUGUUUUUUGGGUUUUAUUUCUCUUAAGCAUGACUUAAACUAUUCAAAAUUUAAAUAGUUUUUAAAAAAUUAUCUAAUAAUAAAUUACUGAAUAAAUAAUUAUAUACAUACUAUGCAAAACUCAUGUUAAAAAAAGAUUUUAAAAAUAAAAUUAAAAAAAAAAUUAACAUUUAAAAGAUUUAAUUAUAUUAUGCUACACUGUACUUUAUUUUUUUUUUUUUCACUUUCUACACUAUACUAAUUUUUUUUGGAUAAAAUAUAAAAAAUCCUCAUAUAAAUAUUUUUUUUUUUACUUUUCUAAUUUUUAAAAACUUGUAUUUUAUUUUCUUAACAUUUCCGAAAGGUGAGGAUAUUCAUAAAGGACCACCAUAGGUCUAUAGUUUACUUUUUUUUUUUAAAUGGUAAACUUCGAUUUGUUUAUACUGUUCUAAAUCGUAAUCAUUUGACUUGUUCCAAGCCAUGCACCUCUAGAAGAAAGUCUAUAUUGUGGCCAAGGCUACUAUACUAUUAUGAGUAUUGGAGUCCUCGUACUCAUAAGUUGUUUUCAAUGAUGGAGCUUCCGAAUCGACGAUCCACUCCGUUAAAUAUGAUUAGAGUAUUUGAAUUUUCUAAGAAAAUAAUUCGUAAAUUUUGAAAUUAUAAUGAAAAAUAAAUUCAUCAAGGCGGUGCAAUAAAAGAACGGUGCAAAAUCGAACCGACUGUCAUCUAAAAAGUAAUGUCGAUCCUUACAAUUCAAGAUCGGAGUUAUUAUCGUUUACUAUUAGUGAAUAGAAUUUCUUCAUCAAAAAAUUCAACAAAUUUCGAUUCUUUACAGCCGUUAAACUGAGCAAAGUACCCAUACUGCGUUAAAAAUUGUCAAAUUUUGACCUCUGAUGUAAGUAAAUGAAAUUCGAAAAAAUUAUACAAAUUUGAUUCUAGAAGUUUCAAAUGCCUGUAAUAGUUUCGUGUGGAUCGUCGAUUUGGAAGCUCAUCAUCGAAAAGCAACUUAAGUACGGGCCGAUCGUCACUUAUAAUGAGUUUAGUUAGCCGACUCCUAUCCUUGUAACAUUUAUACCCUCAUUUUCUUAUCCAUGUCAUCACACGUUCUUUUUGAAUAAAACUAAUCAUAAUGUUUUUUUUACUUUUUAAUAACCAUGAUUAUGAGCGAAUCCAAGGAGAAUAGAUCUGAUUGUUGUAAACUAGUAUCAGCUAAAUCAAUAACUGAUCAUUCAGACCUUUAAGNNNNNNNNNNNNNNNNNNNNNNNNNNNNNNNNNNNNNNNNNNNNNNNNNNNNNNNNNNNNNNNNNNNNNNNNNNNNNNNNNNNNNNNNNNNNNNNNNNNNNNNNNNNNNNNNNNNNNNNNNNNNNNNNNNNNNNNNNNNNNNNNNNNNNNNNNNNNNNNNNNNNNNNNNNNNNNNNNNNNNNNNNNNNNNNNNNNNNNNNNNNNNNNNNNNNNNNNNNNNNNNNNNNNNNNNNNNNNNNNNNNNNNNNNNNNNNNNNNNNNNNNNNNNNNNNNNNNNNNNNNNNNNNNNNNNNNNNNNNNNNNNNNNNNNNNNNNNNNNNNNNNNNNNNNNNNNNNNNNNNNNNNNNNNNNNNNNNNNNNNNNNNNNNNNNNNNNNNNNNNNNNNNNNNNNNNNNNNNNNNNNNNNNNNNNNNNNNNNNNNNNNNNNNNNNNNNNNNNNNNNNNNNNNNNNNNNNNNNNNNNNNNNNNNNNNNNNNNNNNNNNNNNNNNNNNNNNNNNNNNNNNNNNNNNNNNNNNNNNNNNNNNNNNNNNNNNNNNNNNNNNNNNNNNNNNNNNNNNNNNNNNNNNNNNNNNNNNNNNNNNNNNNNNNNNNNNNNNNNNNNNNNNNNNNNNNNNNNNNNNNNNNNNNNNNNNNNNNNNNNNNNNNNNNNNNNNNNNNNNNNNNNNNNNNNNNNNNNNNNNNNNNNNNNNNNNNNNNNNNNNNNNNNNNNNGGAUUUAUUGUGGGGCUUUGGGGAGUUUAUGGUGUCUUGCUCUUCAAAUCUGCAUGGAGAAAUACUUACUUCUACAUUAUUGACAAGAUGUACUACAAGUUUUUUGCUGGCAAUUGAGACACAGUAAGAUCAUCAUAUAUAUUAGAAGUUGUAGAAGUUUGUAUACAUACCAGUAAAGGUAUGCAAUAAUCUAUUGUAUGCUAAUCGAAAUGGAUUUUGAAGUUUCUGUUCUCAUAAACUUGUUGUUAGUGGAAUAUUCCUUUUUUUAAUUUAAUUUUUCCUGUGUGAUAACAUCUUAACUCUUUUAUAUGUGGGAUUGUAGUACCACUGUUUUCCCAAAAAGAAAAAAAAAGAAAUUGCAAUUAGUCUUCCUAUCGAAUUAGGUUAAUUGCGUCAUUGGUUCCCGACUUUUACUUAAUUUUUUGCUUUUGUCUAUGACUUUAAUUUUUGCAAUCAAGUACCUAACCUUCAUCAUUUAUUUCAAUUAAUUCUCUGUUGUCAAAAAAAUCAUUUACAGUAACAAGAAUUGUAACUUUAGGAAGCUCCAUCAUCGAAAACAACUUAUGAGUACGAAGGGCCUAAUACUCAUAAGAGUAUAAUAGCCUAUAUAUAUAUAUAUAUAUAUAUAUAUAGCGGUCUUCGGUUAGAGUGAUAGUGAUCCUCUAGGGUUGAGUGGGUGCACUACAAAAGAAUUAGGUUAUAGGAACACAUGUUUGGGAUACUUUUGUGUAAAUGUCCAAUUUAUACCAAAACUUAAAAAAAAUCUACUAAUGCCUAAAUAUAAAGUUCAAUCCAAUCAAAAAUAAAAGAUUACUCUAUUCAAGCCACCCCAUCCAGUCCAUUCGGCCCGAUUACAAACAGAAAAAAAAGAAAAAUCGAUUACCAUUUCCCCUUCUCCUCUCACUCAAUCGAUUGAAAUCUUAAACGAAGAUUCCUUCCUCUCGUCCUCCUCUGCCACCGCAGCCAACGAGGUAGAGUUCCGGCGGUUGUUAAAUGCUUAAAUAAGUGUUGAUAAAUUAGUAGCACACUUUUUAGAUUAUAGCGAUACUCUUUAACUGUUACUGUAUACCUAACAACCCUACAUAACGGAUGAAUAGUAUGAUCUAACGGAUGAAAAUGAUCAAAGUGGUUGAUCUAACGACAAAAACUUAUGAGUAUAAAAGGACUCUAUACUCAUAAGAGUAUUGUAGCCGAACUAUAUAUAUAUAUAUAUAUAGAGAGAGAGAGAGAGAGAGAGAGAGAGAGAGAAUUACAGUGUUGAAUUGAAAGUAUGAGAUAGAUGCAGCAAGAUGCAUGCAACAAAUUAAAACUGGGGAUAGUUUUAGUUUGGAUAAAAUUACACCUUUGGUCCCCAAACUGUAAAGCCCGUGACAAUUUGGUCUUUAAAUUUUCAUCUCUUAUUUUUCACUUGAGCUUUUUACAAUUAAGUCUCACAAUCUAAUUUUACUUGCUAAAUAUUGGCAAAUUGUUGAUAUAGAAGUAUUAUGAUUGAUAAUACGGCAAUAAUUAAAAUAUUAUAUUACUGUCACAUCAACAUUCUAUCAAUAUGUAGCCAACUAAAUUGAGUUGUGGUACUUGAUUGCAAAAUUUUAGACCAAACUAAAGUUUGAGGACUGAAGUGUUAAACAACUCAUAGUUGAGGUUCAAAUGUGUUAUUUACCCUUUUUUUAAAACAAAGGCUUUUAAACUUCCUCACGUUGAACCGUUACUAAUUAUAAUAGUUAUACAGAGUUAAUUAAGGUGAUCAAAUUGAUGGUUUUAAAGGACGAAAUUAAUUAACUUGUCAUCUCAAGUUAACUAAAGGAAGCACCCAUCAAUUUUUUUUUUUUGGUUUUAUUUCUCUUAAACAUGAGUUAAAUUAUGUAACGCCCCAAUAAUCCACAUCAGUUGAAAAAAUAAUUCUAAUUAGAAUAUAUGAGGCCUACACGUUAGUAAUAUUAAUUUCGGUUAAGCAUUUUGGGCCAGUGAUUUGGGCCCAAAAAGUUAUUAUUACUAGCAGGUCGGAUUGUUACAAUCGGUAUCAGACUAAAUACCAGCCAGAAGUCUCCAAUAGUCCCACAUCUAUAUAAGGCCUAUACUUAGUAAUGAUAACUGGGUUUAAGUAUUUUGAGCACAACACGAUGCUAAUCUCGGAUUUAAAAGGUUUAAUUACAUUAUGCUACGCUGUAUCUUAUAAAUUUUUUGGCUAAAUUAUAGAAAAUUCCCACUUUUUCACUUUCUGUGAAACAAUCGUGUACUCUUAAACUGGUGUUUAUAUAUUUUCAUAUUUAACACUCCCUCUCACGUCUAGGCUCGAGAUUUUUUUUUCCUUUUGCAAACUUAAGCUGUUAGAGAAUAGUGUUAUAUAUUUUUAUAUUUAAAAUUUGCCCCCUCUCACUCAAAAAUCUACCCUUUGUCCUUUAAAAAAUAGUGUUAUAUAUUUUUAUAUUUAAAAUUUCCCCUCUCGCACUCAAAAAUCUACCCUUUGUCCCUUUAAAAAAUAAAAAACGUUAACAAGUGUACAUGUAACAAAAUGACCAAAUUGCCCUCAUCUUCUUCGCCUCCUUCCCAAUCCUGCUCAUCCUGCACACUUGCCCGCACCUCCCUCAACCCCAGCUUCGGCUCCGUUUCCUCUACCUACUCCCCUGCUCCUCCAACAUUCUCACCAUCCCUCUAUUUCAGCGAUUGUAGAGAGGAGAUCGUGAUGGGUAUGGGCGAAGAGGUGGCGAGGGCAAGGGUGAGGCGGCGGAGGAGGGCGGAGGCAUGUGUCUGGGCAUAGAUAGAGAAGUGCGUGAUCCUUCCUCACCGACAUCUUUUGCCGCCUCGCCCUUGCCCUCGCCCUCACGCACUUCUAAAUGAUGCUGAAAAAUUAUGAAAUUUAGUUUCCAAAUACUUUCAAUAGUGUAGAUUAAGUCUAACGGAGCUGAUCAUGAUUUGGAAGCCGUAUUAUUGAAAACAACUUGGUAGUACGGAAGCCUCGGUGCUACCGACAGUAUAUUAGCCUAGCUAUAUAUAUAUAUAUAUAUAUAUAUAUAUAGCUUAUGGAAGCACGGAGGGCUCCAUGCUUCCAUUUUGUUUUCGAUGUUCGGACUUUCGAAUCGACGAUCGGCUCUGUUAGACUUGAUCUAGAGUAUUUGAAGUAUCUAGAAAAUAAAUUUUGCGAUUUUUCGAUAUCAUUUGCCUAGUGAUCGAAGUGGCACAAAAUCAACGGUUGAAAAUAAAAAUCUUACAAAAUAUGAUGAUAUGACAUUAAAAUUUUAGAUCAAAGUUAUUGAUCUUGUUUUAUAUGGUAUAAAGAAUUUUGUAUCAAAAUUUCAUCUAAUUUGAAUACUUCUAUACCGUUAAACUUGAAAACGGCAGAUAUCAACCAUUAAAAAUUAUUGAUUUUGAACGCUCUCGAUCACUAGGUAAAUGAUAUCAAAAAAUCGCAAAAAUUAUUUUCUAGAAACUUCAAAUGCGUUAGAUCAAGUCUAACGGAGCCGAUCGUCGAUUCGAAAAUUCCAUCAUCGAAAAUGACUCAGGAGCACGAAGGCCUCUGUGCUCCUAAGAGAACAGCAGUCCUGCUCUAUAUAUAUAUAGAGAGAGAGAGAGCAGGGCUGCUGUGCUCUCAGGAGCACGAAGGCCUCCGUGCUCCUGAGCCAUUUUCGAUGAUGGAAUUUCUGAAUCGAUGAUCGGUUCCGUUAGACUUGAUCUAGCGUAUUUGAAGUUUCUAGAAAAUAAUUUUGCGAUUUUUUUAUAUCAUUUACCUAGCAAUCGAAAUAAUUCAAAAUCAAUAAUUUUUAACGGCUGAAAAUAAAAAUCCUAUAAAAAAGUGGUGAUAUAGCACUAAAAUUUUUGAUCAGAAAUAUUGAUCUUAUUGUAGAUAGUAUAAAGAAUUUUUUAUCAAAAUGUCAUUUGAUUUGAAUGCUUCUACACCGUUAAACUUGAAAACGGCAGAUAUCAACCAUUAAAAAUUAUUAAUUUUGAAUCCUUUCGAUCAUUAGGUAAAUGAUAUAGUGCUAGAAAGACUUGUGUGAUAACAACUUUUUCCCUUCUUGAGUUUUAUUUCUCUGAAAAUAGAUCGUAAGAUGCUUGUCUUUUUGUGCUGUUCCUUCAUGGUCUAAAGUUGAAAUAAUUUGGUUCCGUGCGCAUUUACAUUUGUAAUAAUUACUAAAUGUUAUUGACAAGGAAAGUAAAGAAGCAUACAGGAUUCCACAUUACUGUUGCGUCGAUCGUAGUAAACGGUAUCGACAAAAGAUAUUAUGGAAAAUCUCCUCGCAAACGAUUGUUGUUUACAGUUUUUAUCUAACAAUUGUGAAAAAUGCUUUCUAUACUAUUUCACUAUUCAGCUGUUUAAUGCUUCUGCUUGUCUCUUUUGUAGUAAGUGUUUUUUUGUAAAUAUUCAUAUUGAGCUGAAUAUAGUGUUAUGGUGUCUGCACCUUCUAACUAAUUGCAAAAAAUGCUUGUUACUGUUCAGCUGUUCAAUGCUUCUGCUCUUAUGUUUUGUAGUCAAAGUUUUCCUAUAGUAAAUGAGGAUUGAAGAAUGGACUAAUCUGUGUGUAGUUUCUAAGUUUUUAUGUGCUUUACUGGCUUUGCUUUUAAGGUCAGGGCCGUCGACGAGCCGAGCACGACCGAGCUUGGGCCGGCUCGUGAUCGCUCGUUUAUUAAACGAGCCGAACACCAGCCGACUCGUUAAAAUAUCUAGCUGAAAAAUUCAACUCGUGUUCUGUUCGAUUUGUCUAUUAACGAGUCCGCUUGGAUCCAUCCUGUUCACGUCGAAUCAUCGACGGUCUCAAAAUUAAAAUCUAAUUAAUUAGAUAUUAUGCUCAAUAAAAUUUAAAAGACCUAUAAAUUUAAAAAAAAUCAAAAAAAUUUGGACACCGUUCUCUUACGAUCGAACAUUGUCUAUUUCAUACGCGAUGGUCACGUGUUUUUUUUUUAAUUUUUUUAUAUGGGAUGGUCACGUGUUUUUUUUUUUUUAUUCCAGUGACAUAAUUAUCAUGACUUGGAAUUGCAUAAGGAGUUCACAAAGAUCCCAAAUUGUGCACUUAAUUUUAUAUUUGAUGUUUACAUUUUAAAGUGAAUUCAAUAUCAAACACUAAAACGUGGGCUGCUUAUUGUUCGAUCACUCCAAAUACAACACCUUUUUUAACAUGUUUUCUCUGUUUCACACCUCAAAAAAAAAAAAAAAAAACUUUCAUGGUUAAGGGUGUGCUUAGUUCAAUUUGGUUCGGAUUUUUAAAUUUUUUUUAUCAGAACUGGACCAAACCGGUUUAUUCCCAGGACCAACCCGAACCGCGCUGAAUUAGUUCAUGAUUUAAGAAUCAAAAUUGAAUCGUGAUAAAAAUUACAUACCAAAAAUUAAAUUUGGACCAUACAAUUUAAACAGUAUUGUUAUGAAUGGGUUUAAUUUGAUAUAUAUUACAAUACAAGAUUGGAUUAUUAACAUUGUUUUAAAUAUAUGACGAGGAUAAAAAGUGUGAGUAAUACGGUUUCAGCUUGGAUCGAUCAAGAAGAAGUGUCAAAGCUGAAUCGAAACCGAAAAUCAAAUUUUAAUUGUUUUCGCAACCAAAUUAAAUUGAAAAUCAAAUAAAUCAAACUAAAUUUCAUUAUUUAGUUUGGUUUUUUUUUUUUUGUUUUCAAUUUGAAACCAUACUCUGACUUAGAAUUCCUUUACCAAAUAAAGUUAUGAAAGGAGAUACUUUGUGGGUCAUUUUCUUUUUUCUUUUUUUUUUUUUUUUUAAAGAGAUAGGUAGCACGCUAUCCGCUUCGUUUAUUUCAUUUAGAAAUAAAUUUAGCUAGAAAUGUGAAUCAACUAGGAUUCGAACUUGAGUCUCGACUACCAACCAUCAAGUCCUUUGCCACUUGCUCUAGGGACGGUCGGUUUUGUGGGUCAUUUUCUGUGGAAACUAUUUCACAUAGUAAUAGCGACAUCCAACCAAUCACAAAUUUUAUCGCGUUACACGAAUGGACAAAAAUAAUUUUAAUUAUUUUCAUCGAAAACCACAUAAAAACCGACCCAAAUUGCAUUAUUUAGUUUGGUUCUUUUUUAGUUUUCAAUUUGAAACCAUCCUUUGACUUGGAAUUCCAUUACCAAAUAUGGUACUGAAAAGCCAUGUGAUCAAAAGGAAUGCUCUAAAAAGGUCAUUUUUUAAAGGAAAGAAAUUCUAGUAGGGAACUAAAAGGUCUCCCUCACACUAUUCCACAUAGUAAUUAAAAAUGGCAUACACCGACCAUGAGACCCCAAGUUGUUCUAUAUAUGAGAUAUAAUAGGGCUAAAUUCUUAACCCGGCUUAAACAUUUUGGGUGAUGGUAAGGUCCAAAAUAUUAAAAAAGUUAAGCGUGCGAGGACGGGAGUAGUCCUAGGAUGGAUGACCCCCUGAGAAGUUGGGGCGUCACACCGACCGUCCCUAGCGUAAUUGGCAAAAGGGUUUGGUGGUUGGUACCUGAGACCCAAGUUCGAAUCCUAGCUGAUUCACAUUUCCAGCUAAGUUUAUUUCUAAACGAAAUAAACGAAGCGGGUAGCAUGCUAUCUUUCUUUCUAAAAAAAAAAAGAGUAAUAAUGACAUAUAUUCAAAGAUCGUCAAAGUACAAAGAUAAUUCAUUUUUUAAACAUUACUUCCCUAUAAAAUUAUUAUAUUUAUUAUAUUGCUCUUGAUUAUAUGCUAAGAUACUGCCCGAAAAGCUGGGAGCACUAGAGCUCCUAAUUUUUCAAAAUAUCAAGGCCGAGAUUCGAACAUCUGACCUCGUAACAAACCAAGUAUCUUAAACAACGGUUGUUGCUAACAUAAACCCGCGGGGCUAAUUAGGAUCGAUUUCCUUCAAUAAUUUGGAGUUGAACUCUAUUAAGUUCCAAGCAAAAAUAAUCACCCUUAAUUGCACUUAAUUCAAUUUCUCUAAAUUUGAAUCACUUGAAUGCUAUUUGGAUUUGUUUUUAAAAUGGAUUGUGAAACAAAUUAUGAGUUAGAUAAUUAAAUUACAAAACACAAAUAGUCUACCCAAAGAAACCAUUCAUAUAUAUCAUGCCAGGUAAGCUGAUGGAAAGUAUACUUAGGGCCAAUGUGGUAAUAUUAUACUCAAAUGAUGCAUUCGAAAAGUUUGAUCAAUCUAAUAUAUAUAUAGCAAUCAAAUGUCCAUAGCUUGAGCACACAAUUCUACAUACCUUCUCAUAAAAAGCCUUAACUGGCACUUGAAGCAUGAGGGCUACAGCUACAAGCAUGCAGCUUUUUAUAAUAUUACUAGUGGUUUGGCUUCUAAAAAACCAAAUCUUGGAGAGCUAUGGAUGCCUCAGUGUAGAGCGCGAGGCGCUUCUCGCAUUCAAGUCCGGUGUCGUCGAUCCACGAAACUGCUUGUCUUCUUGGGAAGGCUCUAACUGCUGCAGAUGGAAGGGAGUUUGGUGCAACAAUAAGACUAGCAGAGUUGAGAAGCUCAUCCUUAGAUUGGCUUGUGGAACUUCCUCAGACACAAGCUAUGAAGGUUUUGGUGGUGAGGUCAAUCCAUCAUUGCUCUCUUUAAGCCACUUGAAGCACUUAGAUCUCAGCAUGAAUAACUUUAGUACCAGUUUUCCUAAUUUCAUCGCUUCGUAUAAGAAGUUAAGAUAUCUUAACCUCUCUAGUGCUGGUUUUACUGGAGUGAUACCUCCUGAAUUCGGAAACUUGUCAACUCUUCGUUAUCUUGACCUUAGUAAUAGAUACUAUAACGAUAGUACUACCUCUCAUGGCAAACUAUCGUGGAUCAAAGGUCUCUCUUCUUUGAAGUACCUUGACUUGACCUUUGUGAUGCUACAAAAUGCAUAUGAUUGGUUACAAGCAGUGAACAUGUUGUCUUCAUUGCAAGUGCUCCGCUUAGGGAGUUGCUCUCUUCCAAGCAAUCCCGACCCCACUUUUGGUUUCAACUUGACAAGUUUGAGCACACUUGAUCUUCGAGAAAACUACUUCAACUCGACCUUGCCUGAUUGGCUAUGGAGCUUCACUAGCCUAACUGAUCUCAAUCUCAAUCAUAACAAUUUUUAUGGUCCAAUUCCUGUUGAAUUAGGCAAUUUGACUUCACUUACUUCCUUGUGUUUAGGAUCCAACAACUUGGCCGGCCCGGUACCGAAUUCAAUCAAGAACCUUUGCAAAUUAAACACUUUAAGUUUGUCAGGAUGCAAUCUAGAUAGAGAUAUAAUCGAAUUUUUGUCAGAACUCUCUUGCGUCUCUCUUAAUAAUUGGCGACUAUUGGAUUUGCAGAACACAAAUAUAAAGGGAAAUUUGUCUGGCUGGCUUGAACAUAUGACGAGUCUUAAAUAUCUCGAUGUCAGCAAUAAUUUCCUCAAUGGUUCGAUACCUGUAGGAAUAAAUAAACUAUCUAAUCUAGCUUUUCUUGAUCUUCAUGGAAAUUCGUUUGCUGGGGUUAUACUUGAAACUCAUCUUAUGAACUUCACAAGAUUAAAGUUUCUUCGGGUGAGCGGUACAUCUCUUGAGUUGAAGGUGGAGGAUAAUUGGGUGCCCCCUUUUCAAGUGCAAGAAUUAGUUUUGAGGUCAUGUCGAUUGGGUCCACGAUUUCCAAGAUGGCUCCGAUUGCAACAAGAAAUUGAAGUCUUAGAUUUGUCAAACAACUGGAUCGCUGGCACUAUUCCUUAUUGGUUUUGGGACAUAUCUUCAUCUAUCAGGAGCUUAGGCCUUUACAAUAACCAAAUUAGCGGCAUUUUGCCAUCUUCUUUGCGAAACAUGACAUCAUUAGAGGUGUUAAAUUUGCGUUCUAAUUAUUUACGAGGAUUCUUACCAUUUUUGCCUGAUUCUUUGAAAUGGGUUGAUUUCUCAAGCAAUGAGUUUUUUGGAUCACUUUCACAGUCCUUCUUCAAGCCAAACCUAAUAGGCGUUCUUUUAUCGAACAACUCCAUUAGUGAUGAUGGCAUCCCAUCAUCUAUAUGCAAUAUGCAAUCUUUGUCCAUACUUGACAUGUCGAACAACAAUUUAUUUGGUGAGCUGCCAAAUUGCUGGAAUGGUGUAUCAAAUAGUUUGAAUGUUAUAGACCUAUCCAGUAACAAGCUAUCAGGACAACUUCCUGAUUCAUUGGGCUGUGCCAGUAAACUUGAGUUCUUGCACUUAAACAAUAACAGCUUAUAUGGGGAACUUCCUUCGGCUUUACAAAAUUGUCCCUUAGUACUACUUGAUCUCGGGCAAAACAAGUUAUCAGGUGAGAUUCCUAUGUGGCUAGGAAAGUUAACAAAUCUUAUAGUUCUUCGGUUGAUGUCAAAUAUGUUUGCCGGCAACAUUCCUGCAGAGCUCGGACAACUUGAGAAUCUUCAAAUAUUGGAUCUUUCUUGGAACAAUUUAUCUGGAAACAUACCUCAAUCUUUUUGGUAGUUUCCCGGCGAUGGCUUCAAUCGAGUUAUCUAAAUACAUGAUUGAUAUACAUUGGCUUUACGUUAAUUUUUUUCUAGUACAAACAAUCUAUGGAUAUCGAUUCAACUGCAUGUUGUAUAAUUAUUCUAGUCAAAGAUUAUAUAUUGCAACAAAAGGGUCAAAUCUUCAAUUUUCGAAGAAUCUGUUCUUCGAGAAGAGCAUAGACCUCUCAGGUAACAAACUUGAUGGUGCGAUCCCUGCGGAACUAGCCGAUCUAUCAGCGCUGCACAAUUUGAACUUAUCAAGAAAUCACUUAAAAGGAAGGAUUCCUGAUAAGAUAGGAAACUUACAAUCUUUGGAGUCUCUCGAUCUUUCUAUGAACGAAUUAAAUGGAACCAUCCCCCAAAGUAUAACGGCCUUGAAAUCUCUGAGCAACUUGAAUUUAUCAUACAAUAACCUCUCAGGAAGGAUUCCAUCUGGAGAUCAAAUACAGACAUUGGUUGAUCCUACUAUAUAUGCUGGCAAUCCCUAUCUCUGCGGUCCCCCGAUUUCGAAGAAUUGCUCUGGAAAUGAACCGACAUAUACUCCUGAUGAGAAGAAACAGCACAAUGGUGGCUUGGAGAACAUAGAAAUUUAUCUCGUUAUGGGAUUGGGAUUUAUUGUGGGGCUUUGGGGAGUUUAUGGCGUCUUGCUCUUCAAAUCUGCAUGGAGAAAUACUUACUUCUACAUUAUUGACAAGAUGUACUACAAGUUUUUUGCUGGCAAUUGAGACACAGUAAGAUCAUCAUAUGUAUUAGAAGUUGUAGAAGUUUGUAUACAUACCAGUAAAGGUAUGCAAUAAUCUGUUGUAUGCUAAUCGAAAUGGAUUUUGAAGUUUCUGUUCUCAUAAACUUGCUGUUAGUGGAAUAUUCAUUUUUUUAAUUUAAUUUUUCCUGCGUGAUAACAUCUUAACUCUUAUAUAUGUGGGAUUGUAGUACCACUGUUUUCCCAAAAAGAAAAAAAAAAAAAAGAAGAAAUUGCUCUUAGUCUUCCUAUCGAAUUAGGUUAAUUGCACCAUUGGUUCCCGACUUUUACUUAAUUUUUUUGCUUUUGUCUAAGACUCUUUAAUUUUUGCAAUCAAAUACCUAACCUUCAUCAUUUCUUUCAAUUAAUUCUCUGUUGUCAAAAAAAUCAUUCACACUAACAAGAAUUGUCACUUUAGCACCGAACAAUAUUUGCCAUAUUAGCAGAUACCGACUAACCUUAUGAUGUGGUGACUUUUGUCAAAUUUAGCAAAAGUUUUGGACGGUAUAAAUAAUAAAAAAGUUGACCUAAUUGCCAAAUUAAUAAAAAGAAAAGUCAGGGAUUAAAGUGAUAAAUUAGUUAAGCACUGGGGACCAAUAGUGUAAUUAACCCUCUAAAACAAGCAGAUACUAUGAACUUCACAUAUCUCCAGAAUUUAGAGUCUCAAGCACUGUAUUUUAAUCCUGCCACUUAUCAGUUAUAUAUAUUUUUCUUUUUCAAUUUAGAAAAUUAUAGCGCUGAAUUGAAAGUACGAGAUGGAUGCAGCAAGAUGCAGGCAACAAAGUAAUACUGGGGAUAGUUUUAGUUUGGGUAAAAUUACACUUUGGUCCUCAAACUAUAAAGAGCGUGACACUUUGGUCUUUAAAUUUUAAUUUCUAGUUUUUGGCUUGAACUUUCUGAAUUACUGCAAUUAAGUCUCACAAUCUUAUUUAACUUGCCAAAUGUUGGCAAAUUAUUGGUAUUCUGAUUGAAAAUGCGUCAAUAAUUAAAAUGUUACAUCAUUUCUACAUCAAUAUUUUGUCAAUAUUUAACCAACUAAGUUGAGUUGUGGUACUUGAUUGCAAUAAUUCAGAACAAAUCAAAGUUCGAGGACUGAAGUGUUAAACACCUCAUAGAAGGCUUUUAAACUUCCUCAGGUUGAAACGUUACUAAUAAAAGCUAUACAGAAUUAAUUAAGGUGAUCAAAUUGAAGGUUUUAAAGGCCAAGAUUAAUUUACUUUUCAUCUCAAGUUAGCAAAAUGGAGCACCCAUUUAAUUUUCUUGUUUUUUGGGUUUUAUUUCUCUUAAGCAUGACUUAAACUAUUCAAAAUUUAAAUAGUUUUUAAAAAAUUAUCUAAUAAUAAAUUACUGAAUAAAUAAUUAUAUACAUACUAUGCAAAACUCAUGUUAAAAAAAGAUUUUAAAAAUAAAAUUAAAAAAAAAAUUAACAUUUAAAAGAUUUAAUUAUAUUAUGCUACACUGUACUUUAUUUUUUUUUUUUUCACUUUCUACACUAUACUAAUUUUUUUUGGAUAAAAUAUAAAAAAUCCUCAUAUAAAUAUUUUUUUUUUUACUUUUCUAAUUUUUAAAAACUUGUAUUUUAUUUUCUUAACAUUUCCGAAAGGUGAGGAUAUUCAUAAAGGACCACCAUAGGUCUAUAGUUUACUUUUUUUUUUUAAAUGGUAAACUUCGAUUUGUUUAUACUGUUCUAAAUCGUAAUCAUUUGACUUGUUCCAAGCCAUGCACCUCUAGAAGAAAGUCUAUAUUGUGGCCAAGGCUACUAUACUAUUAUGAGUAUUGGAGUCCUCGUACUCAUAAGUUGUUUUCAAUGAUGGAGCUUCCGAAUCGACGAUCCACUCCGUUAAAUAUGAUUUAGAGUAUUUGAAAUUUCUAGAAAAUAAAUUUCGUAAAUUUUUGAAAUUAUAAUAAAGUUCAUCAAGCGGGCAUAAAAUGAACGGUCAAAAUCGAACGACGUCCUAAAAAAGAAUGAUCGGAUCCUUCAAUUCAAGAUCGGAGUUAUUGAUCUUUAUCUAUGUAGUGAAUAGAAUUUUCUAUCAAAAAUUCAACAAAUUUCGAUUCUUUUACACCGUUAAACUAGCAAGUAUCCCAUACUGGCCGUUAAAAAUUGUCAAAUUUGUGACCUCUUGAUCGUAAGGUAAAUGAUAUCGAAAAAUUAUAAAAUUUGAUUUCUAGAAGUUUUAAAUGCUGUAAAUAACGUUUAACGGUGUGGAUCGUCGAUUUGGAAGCUCUAUCAUCGAAAACAACUUAUGAGUACGAGGGCGAUCGUACUUAUAAUAGUAUAGUAGCCGGACCCCUAUAUUGUAACAUUUAUACCUCAUUUUCUAUCCCAUGUCAAUCACACCUCUUUUUUUGAAAUUAAACUACGAUAAUUUUUUUUUUAUUUUAAUAACCAUGAUGUGAUGAGCGAAUCCAAGGAGAUAGAUCUGAUUGGUUGGUAAACUAUAUCAGUAAUAUAACUGAUGCAUUCUAGACUUUUUACACUUAAGCACAUCUUGUGUAGUAGUGGUAGUGCUACACAUACUCUACAGUAUACUCAACACCUAUAGAAUAGAAAAUAAUGAAACCUCAGUUAAAUGUACACGUGGCGUUAAGAGGGAGUCGGUAGUGGUGGGUGUGGGGUGGGGGUGGGGGUGCGGGUAGGGAUGGGGACGGUGCCAGUCCGGGUGAGGGUGGCGUUGGGGUAGGGGUGUAAAAUGAGCCGGGCAGCCCGCAAGUCGCCCAGCAAGACACGAUACUGGGUCGGACCAAGGCACGACACGAGUACUGUAGCAUCUGUGCCGGGCCGGACCAGUCCAGUCUAAUAAAUCAGGUCGUACUAAGCCGCCUUUUUGUGGCCCGGCCUAAUAAGAGCUUUGGGAGUUGGGAGCCAGGGCUGUAUGCCUUUAGCCUCUCGCAAGGCUUUUGGUCCCUUUUGGACCAAAAUACUCUCCCGUUUUGACUGUUGGGAGAGUAUUUUGGUCCAAAAAAUAUUAAAAAUUUUUAAAUGAUUUUAAAAUUUUAUUAUUUUUAUAAAUAUAUUUUAAAAUUUUUUAAAAAACUUUUCAUAUAUUAUUUUUAAAAAAUAGUAUUUUAAUUUUUAAUUUUUUUUAAAUUUUUAUAUAUUUUUAAAUAAAAUUAAAUAAAUAAAAACGAUGGCCUGAAGUCUGACCCGGCCCGGCCCGGCCCGUACCUUCCGGCCCGGGGGGCCGUGCCAGGCUGGCUUCCAGCAUGUUUCAGUCCAGCUUAAUGUAGAAGUAUUGCAUCGCCUCUACGUUAAUAUUUUGUCAAUAUUUAGCCAAUAAAAUUGAGUUGUGGUACUUGAUUGUAAUAAUUUAGAACAAAUCAAAGUUUGAGGACUGAAGUGUUAAACGCCUCAUAGUUGGAGGAUCAAAUGUGUUAUUUACCCUUUCAGAUUUUAACAAAGGCUUUUAAACUUCCUCAGGUUGAAUAGUUACUAAUAAUAGUUAUACAGAAUUAAUUAAGGUGAUCAAAUUGAAGGUUUUAAGGGCCAAGAUUAAUUAACUUUGCAUCUCAAGUUAACUAAAGGGACCACCCAUCUUAUUUUCUUUUUAUUUUUAUUUUUGGUUUUCUUUCUCUUAAGCACGGCUUAAACUAUUCAGAAUUUAAACAGUUUUUAUAAAAUUACGUAAUAAUUAAUUACUGAAUAAAUAAUUAAAUACAUACUAUGCAAAACUUAUGUUAAAAAUAAAGUUAAAAAGUAAAAAAAAAAAAAAAAAGGUUAAAAUCUAGACAGGCUCAUAGCUCGGCACAGCAUGAUGCUAAUCUCAGAUUUAAAAGAUUUAAUUACAUUAUGAUACGCUGUAUCUUAUAAUUUUUUUUUUUUUUUCACUUUCUACACUAUAGUAAUUUUUUUAGCUAAAAUAUAAAAAAAUUCUCAUAUAAAUAUCUAUUUUUUUUAUUUUUUUAAAAUUUUUAAAAAUUUAUAUCUUACCUUUUUAAAAUUUCGGAAAGAUAAAUAAAGAUAUGCAUAAAGGACCACUAUAGGUCUUUAGUUUUUUUUUUUUUUUCAAUUUUAAACUUCAAUUUGUCUAUACUUGUUCUUAGUCCUAAUCAAUUGACUUGUUCCAAGUCAUGCCCUUCUAGAAGCGCCUCUUGUGUAGUAGUAGUGGUAGUGCUGCACGUACUCCAUUAAGUACCCCAACAUGACCUCCUGCGGAGGAGGAUUGGCGAGGGAUUAUCCGUAAAAAAUAAAGUAAAAUCGACGGAUGGCAAGCGAAACUAUUGUUAAGGGGGGGCAGACUCAUACUAGUGAACGUUAUACUUACCAACCUUCCCAUUUACUUCCUCUCGGUAUUUAAGACACCUACAUGGGCCAUUAAAUAUAUUGAGGCACUGCGGAAAGACUUCUUUUGGAAUGGGGCACACAACUCACCAGAUAAGAGUUGUCUAAUAUCUUGGAAAAGCGUUUGAUAAAUCUCAAUACCAAACUAAGUCUAAGUCUACAAUCCGAAAGAGUCGUAACCUCUCCGUCCUUUAUUUUUGUUGAACAUUUUAUUAAAUUGAAUCACUCAAUUAGCUAUUAGCGAUCAAUUAUUUUAAUUUUAUUUGCUAAAAAGUAAUUAAAAUUAUUAUCAAAUUUAAUAAAUUUAUUGCUGAAUUUGAUAAAAUACUUAAUUUAUUUGACUAAAACCACUUGAUUCAAACAAAAAAGAAAAUUUAGGGGUAUGGGCCCAGUCGAGUGCAGGUGGCGGUGGGUAUGGGCCCAGCCCUUUCUUAAUUUUUUUAUUUUAUUAUUUUUCUCCCUUCACUGAUUUGGACUUAGAGAAUCAAGCUCACUUAAAUAAAAUAUAAAUUUUAAUUUUAUAAUAUUGGUCACUUAGAUAUGAAUUGUACAAUAAAAAUAAAAAAGAGAUUGACAAAAUUUCAGCUACUUAAUUAUUUUAAUAAAUUUAGUUGCUAGAAUUAUAUGUAGUCAAAAUAUUAUUGACUGAUUCAAAUUUAAUAUAUAAAAAGGUUGGAUAGUAAAAAUAAAAUUUUGAAAGGUUAGACAGCUAAUUCAAGAUGGUUCAUAUUUCAGAAAAUUCUAUAUGUUUUUAUUUUUAUUUUAAUAGCAAACUUCAAUGGCAUAUUUAUCGUCUGAUGAGCGAUUAAUUUUAUAUUUAAAAUCUUUUGAAAUAUCCAAAAUAUAAUUAGUCGAUUUUUAAUUUUAACAAUUAGGCAUUCUAAAUUAUUAGAUAGUUUAACAUAUUCGUUCCUCAAAUGAAAUUACUAAUUAAACAAAAGCGAUCGAUGCCCAACUCUGUAUUCGUCUGGAAUUAAAUUAAAAUAUAAAAAAGAUAAAUUAUGCUUUUGGUCCUUAAACUAUAAGACGGAUGACAUUUUAGCUCUCGAAUUUUAAUAGAUUACAUUUUCUUACUCAAACUAUAAGGCAAGUGGCGCUUUAAUCCUCAAACUUUAAUUAGUUAUAAUUUCUAUUUCCAAUUACGAGGCAUAUGAUAUUUUAAUUUUCAACUUUUAUUGUUGUUAUAAAUAUAAUCUAUCAUGCUUAUUAUUUACAAGCAACAAUAAUAAACAAUGGAUGAAAGGAAUUGAAUCCGCAACAUUACGUGGGACCUAACGAACGGGCGGAUUGGGUGGCCCGUGGGCCGGUCAUUCUAUCUGUGGGUUAUAUGGGCAUGGGUACGAUUUACUUGUAAUUUUUUGGGUGGCCAAUAUAUUUACUCAUACCCGCCUGCAGGUGAGCGAAUGGGUAUGCAGGUUACCCACAACUAUAUACAUAUAUAUAUAUAGUAGGGCUGCUGUGCUCUUAGGAGCACGGAGGCCUCCGUGCUCCUGAGCCGUCUUUGAUGAUGGAAUUUUCGAAUCGACGAUCGGCUCCGUUAGACUUGAUCUAGCGUAUUUGAAGUUUCUAGAAAAUAAUUUUUGUGAUUUUUUGAUAUCAUUUACCUAGCAAUCGAAACGAUUCAAAAUCAAUAAUUUUUAACGGCUGAAAAUAAAAAUCCUAUAAAAAGUAGUGAUAUAGCGCUAAAAUUUUCGAUCAGAAAUGUUGAUCUUGUUGUAGAUAGUAUAAAAAAAUUUUGUAUCAAAAUUUCAUCUGAUUUGAAUACUUCUGCACCGUUAAACUUGAAAACGGCAGAUAUCAAUUAUUAAAAAUUAUUGAUUUUAAAUCCUUUCGAUCACUAAGUAAAUGAUAUCAAAAAAUCGUAAAAAUUAUUUUCUAGAAACUUCAAAUACCUAGAUCAAGUCUAACGGAGCCGAUCGUCGAUUCGAAAAUUUCAUCAUCGAAAAUGGCUUAGGAGCACGGAGGCCUUUGUGCUGCUGAGAGCACAGCAGCCCUACUAUAUAUAUAUAUAUAUAGAACUAGGCUGGAAUACUAUUAAUAGCACCAAUGACUUGGUGCUAUUAAGUUUUCUGUCCUUGGAUUAAAGGAUGUGCGGUUAGGAUGAUGCGGGCCUCCUAGGGUUGAGUCGGUGGUUGGUUGAAUAGUAUAAUCGAAUGGAUGAAAAUGAUAAAAGAAGUAAAUCUAGUGGUAGAAAACUUGACAGCACCAAAUGCUUCGUGCUAUCCCUAUACUACUAUACUAUCAAUAUUACCAAGUCUACGGUACUAUUGAGUUUUCGGCCGUUGGAUGAAUAUAUAUAUAUAUAUAUAUAUAUAUAUAUAUNNNNNNNNNNNNNNNNNNNNNNNNNNNNNNNNNNNNNNNNNNNNNNNNNNNNNNNNNNNNNNNNNNNNNNNNNNNNNNNNNNNNNNNNNNNNNNNNNNNNCAGAACACGAGCUAAAUUUUUUGGCUCGAUACUUUAACGACGAGCCAGCUCUUGUUGGGCUGGUUUAUUAAACGAGCCGAACACGAGCCGACCCAGCUCGCUCGUGUUCGGCUCAUUUACACCCCUACCUCCAUGGCUAUAAAAAUGCAUUAGAUUUUUGUUCAUGCAUUUGUUUCAUAAAAUAAUACUCACAUUUGGGCAGUAGUUACACAUGCUUUAAUUUUCUCUCUUCAGUGCAGCUUCCACACUCUGGGAUCAACUUUAGGUAAUCUUCUUCUUACUUCCUGUAGUCGAGUAUAAGCAGUGUGAGAAAUUUUUAUUGGUCAUUUUGCAUUAAAAUGUACUUAAUUUCCCCGUUUUUUUUGCAUCUUUCUGCACUCUUUUUUUUUCUUGUUUUUGCAACUUCUGACAGAAUUUUUUGUUUUUUUUUUUAAAGAGGACUCUUGAGUGAAAAUUUUCUUCAUAGAUCUUAAAAAAGAAAAAAAAAAAAGAAUAAGAAAUUUUUAGUUAAAAUAUUUUUGUGCAUCUUUCUGUACUCUUUUUCUUUCUUGUUUUUGCAACUUCAUAGAUCGUUGUAAAACCAUCCCGAAAAUUUUUUUUUCGGUUGAAAAGUUAAAAUCUACCGUUUGAUUGCUUGUAAAAAAUUUUUCCCGGAAAAUUUUUUUUUACAGAUUCGGCGUAAAAUGGGAGUUUUCGUUUUCCGCUCGAAUCGAGCGAAAACGAAAAGCGCGGCGUUGGGCACGCCGCGCGGGGGAUGUAAAUCACGCGGUCCACAAGAUCCGCUCCAUGUCGUGGACCGCAUGAGGAGAGGAUGGAUCUCGAUAUAGUACAGAUACAGUAUAUAAUCAUGUUAUUAUAAAUAUUAUUUAUAAAAUCUUAGCUUACUAUUAAAGUCAUUAAUUAUGAUAUACACCUCAUUAAUAAUUAUAGUCAUAUAAAUUUAUAAUUGUAUAAAAUAUAUUUAUAUUAUUAAUUAUCAAACUAGCUUAAAUUAUCAAUAUUAUAUAAAGUCAAUAUGAUAUCAUUAUAUAUAUAUUAUAAUAUAUAAUUAUACUAUAACAUAUAUAUUAUACUUACACACUAAAUAAUUUUUAUUUAUAUUUCUCUUUCUUUUCCUAUUUUUCUCUUCGCAACAAAUCUUAAUGAAAAACAUUUUUUUUAUAUCCCCCUGCGACCAAACCGCUAAGGCGUAAAGUUAAUUUCCCUCUCGAAAAUUUUUGUCCACAAAAUCCUUUUAUUUUCGGGCAACGUUACUAUAUGGAAUCGCCCACCUUAGUAAAUUGAAAGAAUUUCUAAAUUUUUUAGUAAACAUGUAUAGAUAUCAUAUACUAAUCACCCUCACCAGAUUUCUCCAUACUGGACUAGAUAAUAUUAUAAUUCUUGAUUUCUACCCUAAUACCUUUUAACCUAUUUGAUUUGAACAGUUAAUCUUACGUCUUAUACUUUAAAUUUUGAGUACUACUUACCCCCUAAUUUAUCGACAUACUUUAUAGAUUAAUUAAAUACAUCUAUAGCAAUUCAUAUAACUGUACCAAUAUUAAAUUAUCAAUAUGCUAAUAUUUUACUUACUUGGCAGAGCAUCGCCUAUUGAUCUUAAAUUCAGACAACAUCUGAUAAGAUUGGUGUCUAAUAUAAAAAUUUUGAAAUGAUACGGUAGUACGAAUUCGAAAAAUGUCUGAAUAGUAUUAGGCGACGGGUUUAAGGCCCUUGGAUCUAUUGUUUAACAUAUGGGGCUCAUCAAUCGCUGCCUACGGGUUUAAUAUCAUAAUGAUGUAUUUGGAUUAUUUUCUCUAAAUUAAGGUGUAAGAUUUUCUUUUAUUUGGGUUGAUUUGUGCUGUUAUUUUAUUAGUGAUGAGAAUUUAUACAGCAUCCGCAUUAGGAAAAAUUUCCCCCUGACCUUUUCUUGUUCUUACCCACAAUGAUUUUUUUUUUAUGCUUAUUUGUUUUUUCUAUUGUGAUUUGUUAUUGUUAAUUAAAAUACAAUAAUUCUUAUGAAAUUUAAUUGCUAAGAGAAUAUUUCAUAUAGGCGAUUUUAUUUCACUGUUGCGCACCAAAGUCUAACUUAGCAUACUCGCAACUCAUAAUUGUAUGAAAUAUUUGAUGUUUUUGGUAAUUAAUACACUAGCUUAUGAAUCAGAUUUGUUGGAUAUAUAUUUGUAGCAAUGCCUCCUGAUACACCCAAAACAUCCUUAACCAUUAAAAUUUUUAAAUGACGGCCAAGAUGCCCGCUUUGAAAGAGGAAAUGACCAGUAUUUGAUAACAAUCGUAUCAGUCACCUAACAUAAUUGGCGCACAUUUUUUCUUUUUUUGCAACAAGGGCCAUUUUGGAAAAUUUACAUCUUAUAACAUAUCCUCUUAGCUAGAAAGGUUUGGCGUUACAAGUAAGGAGAUUGCUGAAGUACCUUUCCUAAAUUAACUUUCUUUACUAACUAUAAUGCUAUUCAAAUUUUAAAUAAAAAAUGAUAUAUUAUUGAAAUCAUUUAGUCUACCCCUUAAACUCGAACCUGACUUAAACCAAGGUUAAAAGUUUAGCCAAUUUUGAAUUUAUUUGUAUGAUUUGAUUAUGAAAUAAACUCUUAAAUUUGUUUCUAAUUUAAAAUUUUUUGCAUCGAAAAUUAUAUGUAAAUAUAAAAUAUUGCAACUGAAAAAUUAUAUUAUACAAUUUCUUAGUAAUUGAAUAUGAAAUAUUAUCCCCAAGUGAAUGUUUGAAAGUUAAUUUUCAAACAUAGAAUAAUUUAAUUUAAAUAGUUAACAAAUUUUAUUUUUUUAACUAUAAUAUAAACUAAAUCUAAAUUUAAAAUUUAAUUUUAAUCAAUAUUUUUGAACUUUAAUAUUGUUUUUACUAUCGAAUGAACAAUUUGAAUUUAAUUUUAAAAAUAGAAGCCUUUAAUUUAAAUAAAAAAUAAAAGUUAUGUUUAUAAAUACAGCAUAAUUUACAAUUUCACAUAAGUUAAUUGUUAAUUUGAAAUUUCGUGUCAUUUUAAUAUCAAAUUAACAAUUUGAUUUGAAAUAUACUAAUCAUUUAAACAUAAAUUUUUUCAUUCAGAAAAUUAAAAUUAAAAUUAAAUUUGAAUUUAAUAUACACAAUUAUAAAGUUUAAGCUCAAAUUUAUUUUUAAAUUCAAUUUUAUAAAUGUUUAUUACUUAUCAAAUUAGUACUAUCUAAUUUGGUAAGUAACAAAAUUAAACAAGGAAACAUAUAUUUGUGUAGGGUUGAUUAAAUUUGGUAAUUAGUUUUUAUUUAUUUUUCCAUAUUACCCUUACGAAUAGUAACAUGUUGAGCAGGUUACUACCUAGUGUAUUGAAGCAUUUCUCUAUAUUUGUUUGUUUGUUUUUUUUUUUCUUUAUUGAACAUGAAAAGAUAAUAUUUUGGCCUUGGUUGGAUGAACUUAGGUUUUCUUUUUUUGUUUUUAAACUUGGCUUCUAUGUGACCAAAUGUGCCUGCAGCUGCUUUCUGUUUUCUUUGUUAUUGUUGGUUAGCGUGCAAUGCUCUGAUCAGAUGCCAAAUAGCCUCGUCUAAUUAUUGUUUAGAAAAAAAAAAGGACAUAGAAGCAAGAAGAAAUUAGUGCUUUCUUUUUGUUCCUUGUCGCAAACAAUCUGUCACUUGUGGAAAGAAGCAAUCAAGCCUAACCUCAUGUGAAAGUAUAUAUUUUUUCUUUCUCUUUUUUGUGAAUUACAAUGUUUGAUGUUGUUAGAUAUACGAACAACCAUUAUUCUCUAAAAGUUUAAGCUGCAAUAAUACGAUGUUCUUAAGAAAGAAAUUAAUAAUGCUGAGAGGCUGAUGGGACUCGAACUCAGGACUUCUGCCGCUCAAAAUACUAUAGUAAUGUUUAUAGGUUUAGCCCUAUUUUAUCUUAUAUAUAGGACUAUUCUAAAUCCCUACGGUGUCACAUUCUUCUCCCUUUUAAACCCCGAUAUUCUCGCUGGGCUCAAGCACCCGCCCUGACAUUCCCGUUAGGCUCGAGCACCCUUGUCACAUUCCUCCCCCUUAUGCCCUAACAUUUCCGUGAGGCUCGAGCACCCACCCUGACAUUUAGAUUCUGACUCAGUCGGGACUCAUCUCUCUCAGUGCUCAGUCGAGACUCAUCUCACACUUCAGGUUGGUAAUUGGCUCAUGUUCUUAACGAGAAAAUUAAUAAUGCUAGAAGGCUGGUAUGAUUCAAACUCAAGACCUCCUACUCUGGAACCAUGUUAAAUAUAAUGAAACAGCCUUUGUUCUCUAAAAGCUGAAACUGCUAGCUAGAGCACGAUGUUCUUAACAAUUAUAUUCGACAUAUGUUUCAAUAUCAGCUACAUAUUUCUCAUCCUGCUCCUUUAUCCUAACUACUAUUGCCGUUCAAAUAACUUCAGGAUUGGAUUGCUGCUAUAACAGUAUAACAUCGCAACAGCAGAGUUAGGCAGCAUGGCCGAAGCUGCGGUGUUUCAUGUACUCAACAAGAUUGCAGCUUCGUUGGCAGGUACAAUAAGCGAUGAAUUAGUCAAAGAAGUGUCGGCCUUGCUAGCAGUCAAGAACAGCAUGAAACAAAUCAAGAGCGAGUUUGCGGUGAUGCGAGCCUUUGUAAGUCAAGUCAACGCAUACGAUUCUCGUAACGAAACCUUGGCGGCGUGGCUCGAACAAGUCAAGAAGGUUGCAUUCGAAGUCGAGGAUAUAAUCGACGAGUACACUUAUCUCGUUGGGAAAGAAAACGUCAGCAGCUUCUGGAAUUCCCUGAAGCAAGCGUUUCGUCAUUCGAAAAACAUCGCCGCAUGGCACGGUAUCGCCGAUCAGCUCAAACAGGUGGAAACUCGUCUAGAGAGGCUCACAAAAAUGAGACACCGGUACGGCAUUUCAGUGAGAGAAACCGCGUCGAAUUCCACUGCUCUUAGGCAGCGGCGAGCGUUCGAUAUUCCGCACUUGAGCAACGAAGACGAGAUCGUGGGGAAUGAUGAGGAAACCAAAAGGUUGAUUGAAUGGCUGACCGACGGGAGGGAAGCUCGCGCCGUCAUUUCCAUUUCGGGCAUGGGAGGGUUGGGUAAAACAACGCUGGCGAACAGCAUUUUCAAGAAUCCGACAGUUAAACGCCACUUCAACUGGAGCGUAUGGAUCUCCGUCUCGCAAAGCUAUCGAGUCGAAGAUCUACUGCGAAGGAUCUUAACACACAACACGGGCAAAAACGAGGAGAUUCUAAAUGGCAUCGACACUAUGGACCGGAUUGAACUAGCGGAGAAGGUUCAAAUCUAUCUGCGGGAAAAAAGGUACUUGAUCGUCUUAGAUGAUGUUUGGAGCAGAGACCCCUGGUCUUCGUUGGAUCACGCGUUCGUGAGAAACAAUUUCAGGAGCAGAGUGAUCAUCACGACGCGGACGGAAGAUGUGGCUUCGUUGGCGGACGAGAAUCGCCGCUUACGGCUUAGCACUUUGCCGAAGGAGGAAGCGUGGGAUCUGUUCUGCAAGAAAGCGUUCUCGAAGCUCGCGGAGAAAUGCUGCCCGGAGGAUCUUAAGGACUGGGCUGAAAAGAUUGUGGACAAGUGCCAAGGGUUGCCGCUCGCUGUCGUGGCGAUCGGCAGUCUGUUAUCCUACAGACGGCAGCAGGAGCAGGAGUGGAAGUCGUUCUACGAUCAGCUUAGCUGGCAGCUGACGAACAAUCCGGAGCUGAACUGGGUGGCGAGCGUUCUAAAUCUCAGCUUCGACAACCUGCCGAGCUAUCUAAAGAACUGCUUUCUGUACUGCGGCCUAUUCCCAGAGGAUUAUCUGAUAAAGCGGAAAUGGUUGAUCAGGCUGUGGACGGCCGAAGGAUUCAUCGAAGAAAGGGGGCCGGAGACGACAAUGGAGGAAGUGGCCGACGGCUACGUGAAGGAACUCGUUCAUCGAUCGAUGCUACAGGUCGUGGAACGGAACGACUUUGGAAGAGCGAAAACGCUUCAAAUCCACGAUCUCGUGAGGGAAAUAACUCUGACCACGUCGAGAAAGGAAAAAUUUGGGAUCGUGUGCAACGGCCCGGGGGCAACGGUGUUGAGGGAACAAGCUCGUCGCGUGUCCGUUCAUAAAGACGGAUUGACCUCACAACCAAAUGGAAAUUUACGACAGCUUCGCUCGUUUAUUUUGUUCGAUAAACAACUGCCGCCAUCUAGUAUCGAAAACGCUUCAUCAAGUUUCAAGUUACUGAGGGUGCUCUGCUUGCGACACGCCAAGAUGGAGCAGAUCCCGGACGCGGUGUUCGAUUUGUUCAACCUGCAUUAUCUGGACUUACAAUACACGGAGGUGAAGAGCAUCCCGAAGUCGCUGGGGAAGCUCCAGAACCUGCAGACGCUCGACCUGAACGUGACCCGCGUGGAGAAACUGCCGCGUGAAGUCGCGACGCUGACGAAGCUGCGGCACCUGUUCGUGAGCUGCUACUACGACUUCGAGUGCAGAAUUUUCGACUGCUUCAGCGCGGUGUCGGUCCCGCACGACAUCUGCCGCCUGAAAGGCCUGCAGACGCUGCUCAACAUCAAAGCCGACAAGUUCUUGAUGCAGAACAUCGGAAGCUUAACGUCACUACGUAAUCUUUUUGUCAUGAAAGUGCGAGGCGCCUACUGCACGGAGUUGUGGGCCUCCCUGAAAAUGAUGCCCGGGCUCGUCACGUUGGGCGUCGUCGCGAGCGACAAAGACGAAUUGCUUCGUCUGGACAGCGUGCACCCGCUGCCGAGCCUGCAUAAGCUCUACUUGCAAGGAAGGCUGGACGAGGACGAGGCUCCGACCGUGUUCGCCAGCUUCGGAAGGCUCCGAGACCUGGCACUAGGCUGGUCAGGGCUGCAGAAUGAUCCAUUGCAUGCCUUCUCGCACAUGUCGAGCCUCGUAAACCUCCAGCUCUACCGGGUCUACAAGGGGCCGCGGUUGAGCUUUCGCGCCGGCUGGUUUCCUAGGCUGAAAAACCUGUUUUUAGCCGACAUGGCGCAAGUGAGUGUUAUUGAUAUCGAAGACGGAGCCAUGGAAAGCUUGUAUCAGCUGCGGCUUAUCGGCCUGUCGAGCUUGACGGCUGCACCGGCGGGUGUCGUUUACCUGCAGUCGCUGCAGGAGAUGUAUCUCACCGAUAUGCCGCAGGAGUUCAUUGGGAGCCUCGAAACAAGUGAAUUUCCAGAAUAUUUGUCAAUAUAUAUAUUUUGAUAUUGUUUUUAUUCUUCUUGCAUCCACGCACUACUAAUACUCUAAUUAAUCCAAAUAUUAUCUCAUUGGCUACAUUGCACUUUUGGUCCUCAAUCUAUGCAACAUGUGACAUUUUGGUCCUCAAAUUUGAAUUUGUUAUAAUAUUUAGUACGUACUUUCUAUUUAGUUGCAAUCGAGUGCCACAUGAGUGUACUUUUGUUAGUUGAAUAAUGAUGUGUCGUUAAUGUGACGAUAAUGUUGCAUCUUAAUUAUUCAUAUAUUUCAUCAAUUAUAAUAAUACUGUAUCACCGUCACAUCAACGAGACAUCAUUAUUUAGUAAAUUAAAUUGUAUUGAAGUAUUUGGUUGCGACAUUCUAGGAUGUUUGAACAAAAAAAUUUCUACAAUUUAAAGUUCAAGUACCAAAAUGUAACACAGUUGAUAGUUUGAGAACUAAUAGUGCAAUUUAGCCUAUCUAAUUCUUCUCGUCAUCAAAUUUAUCAUCUCCAAACAUUUAUAUUUAUUCUUAUUUCUUCCCACUAGAUUUCUUUUCGUCCUGAGGUUGGAAUUAGAUUUUUUUUUUCCUUUUUUUUUUUAUUUUUGCAUGUCAAAUGAAUAAAAGAAAUUAUGGUACUCCAACUCUUUGACUCUGGCUCCAAUAUGGAGUCUGUAAAUAUUUGUAGCCUUAACUAAUCAAAGUGCAGGGUAAUACCGAAGAGGGAAUUGAUACUAACUUGUUUCCAUGAAUUAUUAGAAUUUUUUUCUAUUUUGUUUUAAUUUUUGGUGCUUGCAUUAGAAAAAUUCUUAAAAUCGAGGGAUUUAAGGAGUGAAAUUAAGACUUAUUUUAUAUAAAUAAGAUAAGGCCUUGUGCAUAAAAAGUUUUUGAGAAUUAAAAUUUAUUUUGAUUCCGCAUUAUUUUUCUUAACACGUAUGGCUGGAAUUCAAUUUGUGUGACUUUUUUUUUCUUUCUUUCUUUUUUUCCUCUCUUUUCCCUCCAUAUAUGCUAAUCUUGAUGCAGUAUUUAGCACACUACUUUUAGGGUAAAAGAGUACGUAUGGAGGUUCAUAUGAGUAGGAUGAGAUUGGAUCCAGAUCGGUGGAGCUUCCGCUGGUGAGGGCUAAAAUUAAAGACAAAUAAUAAUUUGCUCUCAAUCCGUCCCGAUCCGCUAAAAAUAUUGAGUGAGAGAUGGAGGAAGAGAUGAAAAACCCUUCCUUUGAUUUUCGAAUGAAGCGGUAAGUAGUAGUAAAAAAUAAGAUAAAAAUUAAUUUGUUUCGAAUCAGCCCCGACCCGCCAAAAAAAUGGAGCAAAAAAAAUGGAGCAAGCGGUAGGAGACUCCUCCCGCCCCAGGAUCCGCCACAUUUGCGUCCCUCCAUAUGAGGUUCAUCUUAGAGAUCUUCUUUUCCUUUUUUUAAAAAAAAAGAAAACCUCAAAUGAUUCCUUUAGUAAUUAUUUAAAAUCUUCUACAUCAUACAUGCCAAAACUCAUAAUGAUUGAAGAGAUUAUAACGCAAAUCGCAAGUUUAGAAAACCUUCUAAACAAUAUCGAAAGAUUUUAGGGACUACCAGGCGAACAACCUUAUUCAUCCGCAAGUUUCAUAUAAAUUAUUAUUCACCCAUAAUUCUUGUUCAGAGAAACCUACAUAUAAAAAUAAAAAAAAGGACUUAAAUGCAUGUGAAAUUACUUCGAGUUUAAAGCUCAUUAGCAACAGAAUGAUCACAUUUGGGCCGGUAGGUUUUCAUUUUAACAUGGCUUCACAUUCAUGUGUAUCAGAUGUCAAUGAGCUAAGUAGCUAAGUUUACAGAAAAGCGAGCACAAAGAUAUAACACAACAAGAAUUGUUUAAUAUUCUGAAUUGGAUUGAAGAGAAUAAGAUGACUAAGUAAUAUCAAAAGAGAGAAAGGAUUUACUGACUCAAAGGUGUCGGAUAUCACAACGAAUAGGGAGCGGAGCCGAUGUGGUAUACAACCAAAUGUUUUGGAAUGAAAUCCCAUUUUAUCUCUACCUCCAAAGGACCAAAAGUUCUGCAAGGAUAAGGCCCUAGGAUGAGAACAUCAAAUCCACCAUUUUCGUCGCUAUGAGAUUCGCGCAUUUUUACUUGAUGAACGAAAAGUGGAUUUGAUGGUCUCGCUGUGGGGACCAUCCACAUAAAGUUUUUGUUCCCUCUCAGGUGGUGGAAUUCAACAAUCCCAUCCAAAGAGAACGAUAUUUAAUCCGAUCGGAUUCCUCUCAGCAACUCCUGACACCUCCAAAUAACAUCUUGUUCUAUCCAAUCCAAUCAUGGAUAACAAACAAAACCCAAAGGAACUAUCAUUACACACGAAGUUAAUCAGUGAGGCAGGUUCUUAUCAUCAUAAAUAAAUAUCCCCCCUAGGAUGUACACACACACACACAUAUACUCGACUUGAUCAAUGUAGAGAUCUCAACACCAGAUUGAAGUAUCACCAAUAAUUUUCACAUUAUUUGGUCUCACUUGUGCAUCAAAGUCCUGCAGAAUUUAACCAAUAUAUAUAAUCAUUAAAACAUAGGAUAAAAAAUAUUAAUGUCAAUGGUUCAGAAACCAAGGAGCGCAAACAAAUGAAUAUAGGGAUUAAUGUCCUCAGCAUCAAGGUGGUAUAAUAUAAAAAUUAGCAGAGACUAUCAGAAUAUAAAACUUGUAAUUAUGUUAAAACAGCAUUUGUGAAAUAUCUGAUUAAAAGUUGUUUAUGCUACAUGAUACUGUGAAAAGAAUGAUGGAUUCUUGGAUUAAUUAUAGGAUUCCUUUUUCUCUCUCUUCUCUCUCUCUCUCUUUUUUUUUUUUUGACAUAGUUCCCAAAGUCUGUUUUGCAUGGCAAUUAGAUCCUUUCAGUGUAUAUUGGCUAAACUAGACGCCAAGUCAGCACCAUCAUUAGACUUUGCUUAGCAAAAUGCAAACUCCGAAGAUGAAAAUGAAUGCGGAGUCAACCAAUAGGGACUAAAUGGUCGCAGUUAAAAUUAUGAGAACGAAAUCUAAGUACACCAGCAGGGACUAAAUGGCCAUGGUUAAAGUACUAAGAACGAAAUUGGAGUACACGCUAAAUUUACACCAGCAGCUUCCAAACUAACCCUACUUUCAUGAUAGCAGCAGGCAGUUCACGAACAUUCAUGAUGCAUGAUAGAGGAUUUGGUAAAUAGAAAGCUCAUUAUUCUUACAGAACUCAAUGACAAAAGUAAUUUUUGCGAAAAGUCAAUAGUUUGUUAUACUAGUUGAUACAACAUUAGUUUCAUAAGAAACUAUAGCAGUAAUUCUACAAUUUAAAGAUCCCGUACCUGUCUACAUUGCCAUUUCUGCUUGUAACGCCGCGAGUUCAUCCUCUUCAGCUGUAGUUGCAGUAGUUUUCUGAGGAGUGGCCCGAGCCGGUUGCUUACCAGCUGGCACAUGUACUGGAGCAACUGGAGCAGUCGUAGCUGGUUGGAGAAGCUGUUCCUCCAACUCUGCUCCCUCAAGCUCUUCAAGUUCUGCUUCCAAUUCAUCCUGCCAAUUAUGGAAAGCAUUAACAGGUAAUCAAUAUGCCAAAGAAAGAAAGAAGAGCAAGCGGUUAAGUCAUUUGAAAGAAAAAAAUAAACAGCAAUACCUCAUCAAAAUCAGCAGCAAUUCCGAUAGGCGCCGAUAAUGCUUCCUGUAUUUGUUUCAUGUUCUCUGUUUGUUCAUUUAUUUCAUCCAUUGUCUUGUCAACAUCAUCAAUAUUUCUGCAAAAGAAGAAAAAGGGAAAUAUUAGCAGGUAUCAUUACUCAAACCCAAACUAAAGGAAUCCUCGCAUACAAAAUAAUAAGCUUCUAAUAUAGCCCUGCAAAAUCAUCUGUUUCCACAUAUACUCCUGUAAAACCUGAAUUUUGGAGUAUAUAUGUAGAAAUUCUUCGAAACAGCAGUUUCGUGCAAAAACAAACUGAAGUGGGGGAGACAUCUAAACAAUGGCAAGAAGUUGGUUAGAAGGGUGUAUAAGUAGUUAAUUUUUUGAAGGCCGCAUAUGAAAAUUUAGAUUCAGCAAGGCUUUACUUUGCAAUUAGAUACAUAGGGAUAUAUGUAUGUAAAUAUCUCAAGCAUAUUUAAGAACUAAAAUAUCAAGAAGACCCUGUAAAGAUACAUAAAGACAAAUAAAAACCUUUCCAAAGGGCAUUUAUGAAAAUCAUCGAGUGCAUUUUCAAGGGCAUUUUCAAGAAUUUUCACAUAUAAAUGGGCAUUUAUAGUAUUUCCACUUUUCGAGGGCAUCUAUGGAACACAUGUACUUGGAGUCUUGGAGGGUACAUAUGUAAUUUUGACCAAAAAAUUUCGUAGAGUUUUGACGGGUGCAGCAAAUAAGUAUAAAGUAGACACGACAGCUAAUAAAGACAGCAAGAUGAAUAUCACGUAACUUCAAGACAUUGCCACAAUUCAAAGAACUCGACAAGUUUGAAGUAGCUACUCACGUGGCUUUCUGCAUAGCCUUCAUUGCAGCAGCUCCUGUUCUUAAUGCAUCAACAGUCUCCGUUGUGGUUUUUGCACCUUUCAGCAUUAUCAUCUGUUCCAGAUAAUCAAUGAUAAGUUCUCAUGAAAAAUUAUAGAAGUUAAUGGCAUAAAUGCAGAAGGAAAAUAGUAUGUUUAUUAAUUUCUCUCUGUACCUGAUCAUGAAUUCUUAACUGGAAAUUUCCAAGCUGUUCAAUUUGCUGCUCGUAAAGUCUCUUCCUCUUCAAGCAUUGUAUGGCAGCUAAUAUUCAAAAAUAAAAAAGAUCAGAUAAGUAGUACAUAUAAAAAUGAAAAAACGACUAGUACUACUGCUACUUAUUUUCAAAGUUAAACCACAGGUAAUACAAGUAUGUGAAAGCUACCUUUUUGUAAAAAUUAUAUAGUCAUGGCAAAGUACAUUUAGACAUGUUAUGAACAAUAAUAUAUCCGUUACGCAGGCAAAUGCUACAAGAUUGAAAAAACAAAAUGCAUAGGUUCCUUUACGGAAAAAAAAAGAAAAGAGGGGGAGGCGACUGGCAUACCCCUUUUGUUCUUUGCUCUGGUGAACUCCUUGGCCCUCUCAACCUCAGCAGCUGCUUUCUUCAGGAGGACUUUCUCCUUCUUUUCUAGCAUCUCAAGUGUCUAAAAUACAUUAUAGAAAAGUUAGACAAAUCAUGUAAAUAAUAAUAUACAACUACAGUAUCUACAAACUACAUAUAUUGAAGAAGGUCUCUGUGUUAAUAUAUGUAAACUGCACUCUAUAUGGGCAGAUGGGGAUAGGCUAGUAUAGAAUUUUAUAUUAGGCAAGUCAACCAAAUCCAAACCAAAGUGUCGAACAAGCUUGCGCAGAAUAUCCUACCCAUCAAGGUUGGAAUAGAACAACCAAACUCAAAGAUAUCCAACGACUGGUGGUUUAUCUAUAAUUCGAACCUCCACGUGGUUAUCCCAAAACAGCUUAUAGAUGCAAUCUCCCUUGGACCGUCAACAUGGAAGCUCAAUCCUGGUAAGUGACUCUCUAAGUAGCUUUAAGGCCCAAUAGACCAUGCAAAAGUACGGCUUAUUCUUUUGAAUAAUUGAUAUUGGCUGUAGUGUAAUGUUUUCACGACCAACACAUCUAUAUCGAGAAAGAUAUUUUUAAUACCGAAGUCCGUAUACAUCUAUUCAAGUAACUAGCCACUUUUAAUUUGUUUCUUAUCGUUUAUUCAGCAAUAGACAACUCUGUUCCCAAGGCUUCAUAUUCUGCAGCAUUAUUAAAGAAUGAAACCAUAAGUUUUACACAAUAAGAAUUCUGAUCUCCUUUUGGUGAUUCCAAAAUUAUUCCUACGCCAGUUUCUUCCUCGGAUAUGGAUGAUUCAUCACAGUUGGAAGUCUAUUGCUCAUCGUUUCCUAUUGUCUCUAGAUCAAAGACUUACCCAACAUAAAAAUCACUUUAGGCUUGUUCAUUCCUAUUUAUUCUCAUAAAGUGGUGCUUAUUUUCAUCCAGAAUCAUGAAAGUAAAAGAAGAAAUUCACCAACAUCUUAAAGGGAAGCUAUAAGAAUAAUUUGUUCAUUUGACCCAGGAAAUGAAGGCACAGAAUUUACUUGAAACAAUUCUCAAGCAACUACUUUACAUGAAUAAACCCACGGCAAAUAAAGUUUUCUCUAUUUCAGCAUAUUUAGAAACUCCAGUAGAAAAGCUAAAAAGGAGACGAUUUCUGUAAAUCCAUGAAUGGCGGGAAAAAAUUGUGAAGGCAUAAAAUUUUGGUGAAUAAUAGUAUGGCAUGGGUUACUUCAGCGCCGUAGCGCCUGGUACUUGGACAUCGGCUCGAGGCAUUUUCUCUGAAAUAAUCAACCCCAUCCGCUCACUACGCGAAUAAACCAGUGCCAAGGCAGAUGAUCCAUUAACAAUUACCAGAAAAAGGAACAUCAACAUAUAUUCUUUAUACUAUCAACAUUACAUGGUACUAGUUUCUUGUUUACUAUUCCUGUGCUAUACUUUUCUCCUAGUAUAGUUUGAAAAAGCACAAAAAACAAGUCAAUAACAAGACAAAAGAAACAUUAACAUCGCAUCUACAAUCCAAACCAUGUACUAAUUCAAUUCAUAAACAAAAACUUAAUAUUUCUAAGAACCCUUCCACUUUCUAAUCAAAUAUUGCAAAGUAACUAUCAAUUAUGAAAAGAUGAUGAAAGUAUUAAUGAAAACAAUGAUUAAGAGAUUGAGUAAAACAAAUUGAAUAAGUAAACAAAUACCUCAUUUAACUUGUCCAAAGUGGCCAAGGCAUUAGUUUGCUCCUUUGGCUUCCCAAAAAUCCUACUAAACAUGGCUUAUAGCUUCAAUUAACCCUACUCUGCAUAGAAAAUUAGAUCAAAAUCAAAAUUAACCUAAAUCCCCAAUCCUAACUCAAACCCUAGAUGAAGAACAACAAGGAUACUUCUUAGACAUAGUUACCAAAAACUAAAACUUGGGUCAAUCGAUUCGACGAGGGAAAACACAGAAAAUGGCGAAAAGAAGGGAUUAUGGAGCAGAAAAUCAGCGUUUUAUGAGUAAAAUUGGUGGAAUUAAGGCAUGAAAACGUACCAAUACAAAGGAAUCGAUCGACAAGUCGGAGAUGGGGAUUAGGGUUUGGGAAUUUGGAUGCGAUCUCGUUUUGGAUUCGGGGAUUUGGGGUGGGGGGUGAAGGGUCGAUGGUUGCUUCGUUCGAUCGAAAUUGACCACGUGAGAAAAGGAGACGCAUAUGUGAGGAAAAAGAACACAAAUCUAAAUAAAUAAAUAAAUAAGGUUGGGAGGUUGAGUUUGGUUGGGGUUAUCCUGACCGUCAGAUUACCGAUAAUCAUAUCAGAAUUACUGUAUAUGAUUUAUCCUGUACGUAAUCUAUUCGAUAUUAUAAUAUUAUAAAAGAUAUAAAAUUAUGCCUAAAAUAUUAUUGAUGGGAGGGGGUGUAUUUUGGAUUACUAAAUGCGGUGUUAAUCUUGCAUGUUACAUAAAAUUACAAGUUUAACCCUCCAACUUCUGAACCCUUUCAAUACGUUAUUUCAAAAUUUUUAAUUAAAAAUUUUGAAUUAUUAAAUUUUAAAUUUAGAAUUUCGAAUUUUAACUUUCAAUUGUCAAAUUUAAAUUUUUAAAUUUUAAAUUUAUAUUUAUAUUUAACUUUUAGAUUUUAAAUUUAUAAAUUUCAUAUUUAUAUUUUAAAUUAAAAUAUUAAAUUUUAUAUUUUUGCUCAAAUUUAAAAUUUAAAAUUUAAAAUUUAAAUUAUUUAAAUAAUUAGUAAAAAAAUAAUAUUUGUAACAAUAAAAAAAAUUUGUCAAAUAUGGGUAAGAACAAUUUUGAAAUAGUCUAUAUUUUAUUGUUAAGAUUACUAAAUUUUAUGGACUGAACUAAAUAUAAUAAUAUUAUAAACACUGUAAUUCAACAUUAUAUUAUUGCAUUAAACCAAACAAGCUUACGCAGUAUCAGUAGUAAUCUCAUUUUGAAAUCCAAAACGCCUGGAUAUAUUGAAAUACUUUAUAGUGUUACAUAAUUUGAACCAAACACGCACCGAGCGAGAAAUGUAUCGAACCCCCUCAACUAUACGGAAUUGGAAAUUGGCCCUUAAAACCUUUUCCUUACCACUUUUUAAUUUCAAUUUAAAUUUAUUUUGAACUAAAUUAUUUGAAUUAAAUAAAUUGAGAAUUUUAGUAAUGCUAAUACUUUAAUUAUUAAUAAAAUCACACUUCCUUCGGCUAAGAAAUGGAAAAGAUGUGAAAUUUGAUAAAUCAACGAACUAACUAUAAAUUUCUAUUUCAAACAAUUAAAUGACAGUCUCAUUAUUAUACCAUAAACAUAAACAAUAAUUACCAAACCCCAAAACACUAUUUUUAAACCUUAAUCUUUAUUAUCAUGUCCUAAAUCUUAAACUCUAAUCUUUCUACGUGUGUAUGGCAACACAUCAACAAUAUAUUUGGAUACUCCAAAGUGGAAGAUCCAUCACAUUUUUCUAUGGCUAAAAUACAUAAAACUCUCAUACCAAAACUCGAUUUUUCACUUUCUCCCUCUGUCAUUUAAAAAUCUACACUUUGUCCCAUUAUAAAAUAAAAAAUAUUCACUUUAUCUCCUGCCGUUUGUAAUCCGUUAAAGUUCCGUUUAUAAAAUAUUAUUAUAUUUUUUUAUGCCAAAAAUGUCUUCAGUCUUCUCUCCUGUGAACAUGAUGAGGGGCAAAAUGGUGAGAGGCAAAAUGAUCAUUUUAUCAUCACAGUUCACAUCAUACCCUUCGUGAACAUUUUUUAUUUUAUAAGGGGACAAAAUGUAGGUUUUUAAAUGACGGGGGGAAGUGAAAUCAAAUUUUGACAGGGAGAUUUUAUGUAAUUUAGCUUUUUUUCUAAUUAAAAUAAUUUUUUUUUGACAAU
This 53447-nucleotide long non-coding RNA is filed under the name Ananas comosus (pineapple). Its description in RNAcentral is "long non-coding RNA (ACOM_LNC022592)". Lineage: Eukaryota; Viridiplantae; Streptophyta; Magnoliopsida; Poales; Bromeliaceae. The record is from RNAcentral.